CUCUACCAUUAUUGUGUCAUCAUUUAUCAUCUCUCCAAGUUUGCUCAGCUGCAGAAAGAUUAUGGUCCUGCAUUUAAUAUUAUUGAAACAUGUUUUAUGAUGGGUUAAACACUUUAUUCACUUAUGCACAUUUUAGUCAGAUACUGAAAGCAUAAACAUGAGGAGCCUUGAAGUGUGUUUUAACAAUGUUUCCAACUCUCUUUACCCUGUCAAGCUUGCUAAUUUAUCAAAUAAUUUAUUAAUUUGGCUUUCCUAAAUCUACCAUGCUUAAAUUAUAGUGUGCACUGAAAACCCUAUAGGGUCUGUUACCUUUUUAUGUAUCAGGUCACCGGUUACUUUGGUUUUGGCAUCCUGAUAGUUUGGUGACUCUAGCGCUGCUGGGUUACGGAACAAGACUUGGGACCAUUCCUCUGUCUGACUGACGCUCUUGACAUAGGCUUUAUUAGUGAACACAGUAUGCUUUUUGAUUAAGCUACUCAGCAUUGAUCUCACCUCCGUUUAGCUGCCUCCAAAACUCUAGACAGGUUAGUGUGCUCUAAGCAUGGAUGAUGGUGUUGGGCCAUUUCUCUGCUGUAAAGCAUGUUUGAAGACCAUCAUUUUCAUCUCAUAGCAGACAAUAGUCUAGCUGAAAAGUCUAUCAAUUUCCCUGCUUCUCUUUGCAGCGGAGCCUUUAUUUGGUGACUGUGCUACUGGCCUCUACUAACUUACCAGGAAUGUGAUUUUAGGUAGACUAUUUAAACAUAAUAACUGAAGGGUCACUGUGUCUAUUAAGGGAUGUGAUACAUUUCAAGUAAGGUAUUACCUGUCACAUAAACGUACAUAAUGAUGUUAUGGCUGAUGACAAUCUUGGGUUAUUUUUUUCCUUUAUAGGAAGAAAAUCAAUCAUGGUAAUAUUUGUUUUCAAAUAAAACCCAAGACUGCUAAUAUUCCUACUAGCCAUCCACUACGACAAAAGCAAGUCGAUCGUCUGUCCCAGGUGCUGGCAUGCCAAGGCAUGAAAAACAAAGCGGCCUGGUGGCAGUUGAAUUUUGAGAAAAGUUCAAUGGCUAACUUCUGAAUCUGUGGCUGUCUGAGUUUGUAGUGGAAAUGUUGUCGGCUUCAUCAGGAUAAUCAUUCAAGAGUGAUAAACAUUAAACUUAGCAUCAAACAUAUUUACCGUGGAACAACGAGAGAACCAUCGCUGGGGAAUGAAAGGCCUUGGUGUGGGCACUUCCUGACUGAAGUCUCCUGGAACGUCGAGUUUUGGGAGAGGGUACAUGUUCCAAAAUAUCAAUUCCUAAAAGAUGGGGAAUGCUUUGUUUCUUGUAUAACACAUAUUUGACCUCUGACGCAUUUAAAAAAAAAAAACAUUAAUCUAUUUUUUGUAACUGUCUUCCUUUUCCUUUUGUAAAGAAUUGCUUUCCCUCCCAUUUGCUCUCUUCUGUUGCUGUGAUGAUUUCCCCCCGAGGACCGCGUGUUUGUCUUGACAGGUGUUAGUAGAUCCAGAGACCUCUGUAGAAUUGUUCCUGCCUGCACCAGAGUACAGUAGAAAGCCUAACUCUGCAAAGGUAAUGAACUUACCUUAUUGCAUUCUAAAUAAAAGAAGCCACAGAGCAAGUGGAAUUAAUUUGCUAAUGUCUUUGUAAUGAAGCUUUCAUUAGACAUAUGUUGUAGUCUUCAAUAUCUAACAGACGGUACAUAUUAAAACAAAGCAAUACUGGUGAUUUUUUUGAAUGUCUAAUGAUUGUCUCAUAGAAUGUUCAGUAAAAUAGUUUAGCCUCAGAUUGUUUUAAACAUCUUAUUACAGAGAUACAAUAAACAUUUCUAGAUAUGCAUUUUUUUUUAAAAAACUCCGAUUAGAUUAAAUAAAUGCCUGUUUCUCUGCUUCUCUUCAACAACUAAAAGUGGAUUUACUGUUUUAUUGGUGGUGGUGGUGGUGGUAUGAGUUUCUCAGACAAUAUCUCAGAAAUCACAGGCUGGUAACCUUGAACUCCCUAUGGUGGUCAGGAUGGAUUUGAAUGCCUGGCUUUCCUAACUCUACUUUCCCAGAGUUAGGGCUACUUACAGCCUUCCUUGAUAGAACCCAGCCUAUGGCAUUCAUUUUUAAAAGAUAGAAAAACAGGGGUUUUAUGUUAUUGUAUAUUUUCAUUUAUUAAUAAAACUUAGAGACAACUGAUUGGGAACAUAAGUGUUUUAAUCCAAUUCAAAAUGUCUUAUAUUAAAAGCAAUGUUACCUAGCAGAGCAAGUAUUAGCUUAAAAGGAGGUUGAACUGAACACUUUAAUGGUCGAUGAAAGACCAAUACAAAUAAAUGUAAUUAAUACCCCUUUAUAUUAGCAAUAUUUCAUUUAAAAUUUGUCAAAGACAAAUUUCAAAACAUUUCAUAGAAAAAUAUGCUUCUAUCAAAAAUCCUCUUUUGGAGCUUAGGCUGUCCCUUUUUAGCCAAUAUUUAUUAUAGGGUAAAGAAGAACUACAAAUAAGACAUCCUUGUGCCUCCACUCUGCUGUGAUCUUAAUUCCUUAUUUUAUUUUUCCUUGCAAAUUCUCCCCUGCUUCUUUAUAAUCAAAGUUUUCCAUGAGACUGGAAGAUCUUAUCAACCAUGCAUUUUACUAUUAUAUCUUAAAUUUACUGAUUCAAAUAUUAUUCACUGCCACACAUUUCAGAAGAAAAAGGAACCAUGGCAAAAGAAAAGGAGAGGUCGGUCUUUUCUCCCUCAGCAGUAGCAGUCAAGAAUGGCGUGAAAGCUAUGCAUCAUGAAGAAAAGUAAUUUCCUACUUGAAGGGUUAGACACUACUCUCUUUUGUCUUGUUAAGUCAAAGUUUUAGUUAUUUUUUUUCAAGUAAUACUGAUUUUUUUCAAUUUACAUAAAUAUUCUCUAGGGAAACUCCAAAAGACCCAACAAACAGAUAUUUCUCAGCCAAUCAACAGGCGAGACAAAAAGUAUAAUAAAGUAGCAGUCUUAAACCCUAGCGCAAGCAUUUAUACAGCAUGGGGAAGAUUAAACUGCUAGACAAGCUACCGAUAAUUCACUCAAUAGGAAAAGUUUGUAUUGAUCCACAAGGCUUUCUUCCUCUCUUUCUUUAGGAACAAUACAGGUGAUUUUUGUUUUGAAGCUACUCACAUAGAGUAGCUUUAGAUAUUUGAAAGCUAUGUAAAUUUCUGCAAAUUUUUGUUUUACCUCUGAGUUAAAGAACGCUAUUAACUACUGCCCUCGGUUGGCAAUAAAUUCAUACUUGAGAAAAGAAGUAGCAGAGCACUGCAGUAAGCAGCACCAUAUGAGGCCAUAAUCAUUCUUCAGUGCACUUCCAUUCACGCGGGCACGGAGCAUCUCUUCAGUGAUGGAGGUAAAGCUUAGGCACAUGUGCAGAACAGGGAGAAGGAAAAUCAGUAGCUGAUUUUCACUCUCCAUUGUGUAACUGUGUGUUGCUUAUGCAAGUCAUGUUUAAGAAAUUUGUACAUUUUCAAUGAUGAAAUCUAUUAUAUCAUAUAUUUAAGAACAAAAAGUCUUCAGAGUAAAAUCCAAAUGUUGUGACAAAUCUUCUAAUUGAUUUCAUCAUAUACCUUAGGUUCUCUCUUUUAUCUGGCUACGGUCCCACCUUUCAAACUAGUGACUCAUCUUUGUGUGCAGUGAGUGGUUGUGGAUCAAGCUCUAGCUUGGUAUUUUGAUUGUGUGUUUCUACUUGUUAAAACACUGACACUAUUAAGUCAGAUUCAUACUAAAUUUCCUAUAGGGAUAUUAAGGACCAGACAACAAUUAUAGUCAUGUAGCAGAUAGUCCCUGCUUGGCAUACAACUAGAGUAUUAUUUUCUAAACCUGGUGAAUAAAAUUAUUGCAUAAGCCAGAAAAUUGCUUGUGAAAGCUGAGGGGGAUAAAUACCACAUUAGUCAAAUUAAAAGUCUGUGGACCAACUAUCAAGCAGAAUGAAAUAGAUCCACUGCAACAAAAUAACCUUAGAUAAUCAUAACUGUCUAAGAUAUUGAAGACAUUCAGGGUGCCUGAGAAAACUGGAAAUUGUAGAGAUGAUUUUAUAUUGACUCAGUGAAAAAUCCAUCAGUCCAACCCUAAGUAAAUACAGAUCCAUUUGAAUCUUCUAGGUUACUAGAAAGUUGGUUUGAUGACACAUUAGAGAUGGAAAGUAUGUUGAUAUUGCUAUGUGGUUUUUUUUGAAGUGCUAAAUGGUGCAAUUUUGAAUGAGACGUGAUUACUUCUUAGGUAGUGUCUGCCUUAAAACACAACCAGUAGAAAGAGUGAGGCUCUCCACAGUAAUAUUUCUGCAGAAACCCUCUUCUCUGCUUUCCUAGAGCAAGCUAUCACCCAAGAAAAGCUGAUGUGACCCAGUAACUCUAAUUUUGCUUUCAACAUCUAUGUUUCUUUCUCCCUGACAAAGAGCAGUAUUUCAGAACAUUGUACAGCAAUGCCGUCCUCUAAAAAUGUUCCCUUUUCCCUACCUUGCUUACAAUCAUGUUGCCUAAGUUAAUAGUGAGAUGCUGGAAAUGGAACUAGCAUGUUUUUCUUUUUUUUCAGCUUAUCUUGACCUAAACCCUUGUAACUGUUACAAAAACUAGAGAGUUAUUUCCCAUGAAAAACACCAUGUCCUCUAAACCACUGUAAGGAUGGAGAACCAGGAAGUGGGGGAGGAGGAGCAUAAAUGUUUGAUAUCCUCUGACAUGCUUUAUUAAGACCCUGGGCUAUCUAUUUCAACCCCUUAAGAAAUCUUAAAACUAAGUGAUCUACUUAGUCAGAUGUCAGUGUACUGGAUUUUAGAAGCUAAAUACACCCCUGAUGAAUGUAACCAAUUUCCAGGAAAGAUGGCUACACACACAGGUGAGUCAGACCACCUAUGUUCUAGGCACCCCACAGAGAUAUGUCUUCCUCAAGAAAACUGGUAACUUAUGCUCUAGGUUUCUGAAGAGCCACAGCAUUUUCAGAAAUGUAAAACAGUUCUUUUUACUCCAAGACCAUUAAGGACAGUAAUUGGUAAAUAAAGUGGACUAAGGCUCUCAAAAAGGAGAAAAUGCCUUUGGGUAAGAACAUUAUGGACCUAAAAGGAAGAGCUUGUGUUGUCCUUGCUGAACAUGUCAGGGAAAAAAAAUAAGACUAAUAACAUUCCAUUCACCAAAGAUAUUAAUUAGAACUUGAAGACUGAGGAUACUGCUCAAGAGCACUUACACCACAAUUAUGAGGAGGUGACUUCAAAUCUCAGCACCCUUAUAAACAACGGCUCAUGGUUGUGAGUGUUUGUAACCCCAGCAUAUUGUGGGGCAGAGCUGUUCAGUCAAAGUCCCUGGCCAGUCAACCUAGCCCAGAUGGCCACUUUCUGUUCACAGUCUCAAAGCAAUAAAAUAGAAACCAAUAAAUUAGACAUUGCACAUCUUCUGAAUUUUACAUGCACACACAUGGGUCUAUGUUCUCAUAAACUCAUGUGAGCCAACACCAUGCACAGGGCCCACCACACACCACUCACACAGACUUAAAACUUGUUGAGGCCAGAUUCAUAUGCCCUCUCAACUUGUGGGUUUGGGAAAAGUGACCCAGGGUUAUUAUUAAUAAACACACCUUUCAGGUAUUACACUCAAAUAUAAGAAAUGUACAACACCAGACAUUCAUUCUUGGGUUUUUUAAUUAAUAUUUGAAAUUUUUUCCACACCUAAUAAGUAGGCAAAGAACACAAACUACAAAGUACAAUUCCCAAGAGGCCUCAGGCUUAUCAGAGAGACACAAUUAUGAUGUGGUUCUUGGUGAAGAAACAAAUGUUCCGGCUUACUUAUCAUCCUGAACUGGGCUAAUGCCAAUGAUUCUUGAUAUCUAUGAAGAAGUUAUGGACACUUCUUGACUUGUAGGGCUUGAAUUGCAGAUUCAGUCUACAUGGCGCUAAAGGAAGAUUUUUUUCCCAGCCAAUUUAUUGUCCUGCCCAGGGACUUGCCAAGUAGCCAUAUGCAUAUCACAGAUACGUUUAUUGGCCAGGUGUUUACUACCCACUUAGUUAAUGGUGUUUGUGAAUUAAAAAUUAGAUGUAGACCUAAAAAUCGUUCAUAUUUAAUGUACCAUCAUUCUGCAAGACUGCUAUUAACUUUGAUAUACCUGUACAAUCUCCUAUCUACCAAAAGAGUACCAUUGCUCUAAUUCUUAGGGACCACACUAUGAUGAAAUACAUACGAACAGAAAGGUCUUGACUUCGGCAGCAAGAAAGCCAUUGUGGCACAAGAUCAAUACUUAUACUGUUUUCCCCAAAGAAUGUGCUUACCAUUGCUUCCUGUGGUCCUCAAAGCCUCAGGCCAAUAUGUAAAACCACACUUGUUUUUUUUCUUCUAAGUAUGUAUUGUCUCUUCAAAUUAAAUAAAAAUGUACCCAUGAAUGAUCCAGAGGGCCAACAUAGAAGUUAAGAUGGCUUGAAUGACUGUUAAGCUAAUAAAACCCAUUUCAGCUCACAGGGCAUCAUCUUCAUCACAUACUUAUUUGCUUCAAAGCAGAAAAAAAUAACAAAAACAUUUAUAAAAGUCUGCAUGAAGGCUUGAAAGAAUCAUUUGAUGAGCACAGUGUGAGAGGGACCCAAUACCAACAUGUUUAGUGUGAAAUAUAACCUCAGGAUUUUCACUGAACAGAAAUAUAAUAAACAGACAACAGUUGCACACAAUGAUUUAAAAACAUUUUUAUGUGUUGUGGUAGUUUGAAUAUGUUUGGCCUAGGGAAGAGAGUGGUACUAUUAGGAACUGUGGCCUUGUUGUAAUAGAUGUGGCCAUUGGAGAAAGUGUGUCACUUUGGGGGUAGACUUUGAGACCCUCCUCUUAGCUGCCUGUUUGCAUGUCUUCUCCUGUUUGCCUUUGGACCAACAUAUAGAACUCUCAGCUCCUUCCAUGCUAUGCUUGCUUGGAUUCUGCGAUGCUUACUGCCUGGAUGAUAAUGGACUGAACCUCUGAACCUGUAAACCAGCCUCAAUUAAAUGUUGUCCCUUAUAAGAGUUUCCUUGGACAUAGUGUCUGUUCACAGCAAUGGAAACCCCAACUAAGACAUGUGUUGAAAUAUAAUGCCCAGCUCUUGAAGUGAAGAAUACUUUUCCCAAACCCUUAACUAUAGUAUCCAUGAAUUGUAUUUGAGAUACUUAGCAUAACAUUAUAAGAGUUACAUUAAUGGACAAGCUGGGGAACAGAUGGUUUUAGGAGACACAUUCAGUUUGGAGUAAUAGACAAAGAAGAAAUACUGCACACAUAAAUGUAGAUUUAUUCUAUAUUUGCCUUGUAACUAUAGAAAAAAAUCAAUUAAGUGGAAACAGACUAACAAGGUAGCAGAUAUUAGUACUCAAUACCUGUGCAGGGUCCAUAAAGGGGAGGACUAGGGGAUUUUGAACUAAGCUAUUUCCACAACGGAAAUUCUGACUACAGAAGGAAAUGAUAGUGCUUAUAAUCACUCGUCAACCAAGAAAACUGAAAGUAGGUUUAUAGAUCAGUAGAAAUAAAAGCAUUCAAAAGACCACCUUAUGCUGUGGAUCUUAUGUGGAUCUGACAUAGCCUAGAACAUAUGCAUCAAAUUUUUCUUAGAAGUUAUGUAAAUAUUAAUAAGAAAUAUUUGUGAUUAUAGUCAUAUACAUUUAACCUAUUUUAUUCCUGUAUUUUUUAUACCUAGGGAAAUAUAUCCAAUGUUCUUCAAGGAGGAUGUGGAGUAGAGUAUUAAAAGAUAGCUAAGAAAAGUAAAAUAGCAUUAACAUCCCUAAACUAAAUGAGUAGCCAUAAGUUCGGAAUCCUAAAUACAAAUAAGAUAACAAUUGUGAAAGAAGAAAGCCUGACAGGGCCCAGAGUGGUGAUUCUCCCCAUGUAGGUCUCAACUCCUUUUUGGGUCACAUAUUAGAUAUCCUGUAUAUCAGAUGCUUACAUUUAUGCUGGCAAGAAUAGCAAAUUUAUAGUUAUGAAGUAGCAACAAAAUGAUUUUAUGGUUGGGGGUCACUACAACAUGAGGAAUUAUAUUAAAGGGUAAUAAGAAGUUUGAGGACCAUUGAAAUAGAGAGGAAAGCAAGACUGUCUUGAUCUCACAGAGGUGACUGGUAAAGAAAUCAAACAAUCAAAGCAACUGUGAGACACAGGAAAAAAAUCUAAAAUACACGAAUAGGUAAACAAUGGUGUUAGCACAUUGUGUAUGGUGGAUGCUGUGUAUGGGUGUCCUGUGUGACUUUCAUUUCACUGCACUGCAGUCAUUCAUACUGGUUAUAUUGUUAGCUUCUGUAUAUGUAGAGUCCAUUCAACCGUAAGGAUAAAGAGGUUUAGCACUCAAAUCUGACUUGAAUUAUUGACCUUGUAUGACAAAUCACAUGGAUUACUCUUAUAAGAAAAGAAGCAAAUUGUGUAACUCCAAAUAAGCAACACCAAAGCAUUUCAGCUCUUAUGAUGUCACUGUUUUCUACGGUGUGGUACAAACGUUACCAUUUUCUGAUGUCAUUUUUUGUUUCUGAAUAUAAUUUCCUUCCAUAACAUUCUCUGUGAUGUUAAAUGCACACAUAUUAGAGCUCACAGGGAAUAUAUAUGCAUAUAUACAUAUACGCAUAAACACACACACACACAAUGAUUGUAGCCCUGUUCCUACAUAUUUUGGUAAUUUCCUAUGCUUCUUCAAUAGACACUGAUUAUUCAUUAUCCAGCGUCAAGGGGUUAGCAAGUGGAGGGGACUCACAGGAUCACAGCUAGGAAGAAUAUGUGGUAUAAACUAAGAAUAUUUAUACAAAUAAAAGCAAAAAAAUAGAUACCAAAUGAACAGUGGAGUCAUUUAUAUUUAUAUUAGAGUUACAUGAGGGCAGGGUAUAGGUGUGUGUUGCCUUGAGUUUCCGGGCCAUAAAAUGAUGCUGUUUUUAAAAAUGGAGCCUGGCAGCCCUUUCUCAGAAAGGCGGAGUUUUCAAUGAUCCCUAGAAUGGCUGGAGGUUUAGGGUUUCCUCAGGAAUCUGCAUUCUUACUGGACAUGGGACAAUAUAUGUUUGAUAAAGUUUGUAUGUAUGUGGUUCAUAAAAAGUUGUUCGUGAAUGCCUGCUGUGGCCUUUAGGAGUGUGCAUUUUUCUCAAGUAUGUAUGUAUUCCUCUGAAACUAAGAAAUGUUAAUUUCCUUAAGGUGUGCUGUCUCUUCCACUAGAUAGUAAAUACCUAAAAGGGUGCUAUCGAACCCAGGCAGCACUAUAGAACUCUGUUUAGUAUUUUUCCUCACGCACCAGGCUUUUGCUCAAAUUAAUCAUAAAUAAUUGUUUAUGCUAAGUAGGGGAGAGAUGACGGUAGAUAGGAGAGUGAGCUUAUAAUCGGGAACCAUAGAAGGCAGAUAUUGAGGUAUCUCUUUUGUCUUGAUGAGCAGGAAUUGGGAAGGGCUAAUGAUCUAUCUCCAUUAGUUUUACUCUGCUCUUGCCAGUAUUGAUAUUCAUUCUCUGAAAUGUGUUUGAGAUUACCAAAAACAAUCUUAUGUGAACUGAAGACAAACCACAAAUGGCUGACCAAAACUUUGUUUAGAGACUAAAGAAAAGUCUACCUACCUGCAUUUUUGCUCCUCAAAAUGAGUUUUAAAAAGUCAGUUCCAUUUUAUCAUGCACAAGUAUGUUUGCAUAUGGAUGCGUGUAUAAUUUCUUCAUGUGGGAAAACUUUGCAAUCACUUUUGUCAAUUAAGAUCAGAGUUAAUGAGCUAUAAAAUGAAUUUGUCCAGGCACCAAUGCCUUUACAUUUUCUUUUAUUACAAGGUUACUCCUGAUCUUCCACUCUUUUCUGACUCCCUCACAGACCUCACAUGCUUUCGUGUUGUUAUUAAAAAUAGUCAAAAAUCAAAGGUGGAAUUUAAGACUUUUAAAAAAGGUUGCAUAUGGACAAAAUAAUAAGAAAUUAGUGUGAGACAUAUUAUUUAGGCUGGAAUUUUUCAAAAUUUGAAACAAACUUUCAUAUUAAUUUCUUUUUUGUUGGGUUUUGUUUCUUGGGGUUUUUUUUGUUUGUUUUUUGUUUGUUUGUUUGUUUGUUUGUUUUUGUUUUUCGAGACAGGGUUUCUCUGUAUAGCCCUGGCUUUCCUGGAACUCACUUUGUAGACCAGGCUGGCCUCGAACUCAGAAAUCUGCCUGCCUCUGCCUCCCAAGUGCUGGGAUUAAAGGUGUGUACCACCACCGCCUGGUUCAUAUGAAUUUCUAUAUGUUACUAAUGUCAAUAUAUCUGUGCUCAUGGAUUGCUUUCUGGGGUUUGUUAUUUUGUAUGUUAUUUUUUAUUUAAAGAUAUUAUUUCACUAUGUAGUUCAAGGUGGCCUCAAUCAUAAGAUCUUCCUGCCUUCACUUCCCAAAUCCUGAUGUUGCAGAGUAAGUACAUUUGUCUUUUUGAGAUGGCCAUCUACUGCUGAGCACAGUGCCUUAAAACCAAAAGCAACAGCAUUUUUGGAGGGUCUUUGUCUUAUAAUACUUUCUCAGAACUUCUUGUUUUUAAGUCUUUUCCCUUAAAGGUCUUUUGCAAAUAUAUUAUGAUUUCUCACUGUUUGAUUUUGGAGGGAUUUCUCUCUGUGUGUGUGUGAACAUGUGUGUUUCUGCAUGGAAGUGUAUUUUUGUGCUUUUUCUUUGGCUCCUUUUCUUCUAUUUGUUUUGUUGUAUUCCAGUUUGAUUGCUUUUAUUUGGUCUUAUUUAAUUUGGUUUUAAAUGCCUGUUUGUUUUCUUUUUUUUUCCUUUUAAAGAUUUAUUUAUUAUUAUAUGUUAGUACACUGUAGUUGUCUUCAGACACUCCAGAAGAGGGAGUCAGAUCUCGUUACGGAUGGUUGUGAGCCACCACGUGGUUGCUGCGAUUUGAACUCUGGACCUUCGGAAGAGCAGUCGGGUGCUUUUACCCACCGAGCCAUCUCACCAGCCUGCCUGUUUGUUUUCUAAAGAGAAUGAAGUAGUGUGGAUUUUGGUGGGAGGGGUGGUAGGGAGAUUCUGCGAGGAGUCUUGAGUGGGUAAUCCUCAUCAGACUACAUUGUAUAAAAAAUAUGUUUUCAGAAAUAAGAAAUGAAUGGAUAAGCAUUCUAACUCAAAAUUAUUAUAGCACCUCUUAAUCCUCAAAAAUUAAUUCAUGUAUAUAUAUAUAUAUGGAAAGAUUCAUUUAGAAUGAAGUUUAUUACAGCUUAUUAUGAGUGUCAUGCAGACUACAAGAUUAAGUGAUUUACCCAAAUUUGAAAAGUUUAUUAAUUUAUAUCUGGGAUCUAUGAAAACAUAGGAAUAAUCACUAACCAUCACAAUCUGUGGGAAUUGAUGGUUAGUGUAUGCAUUUUUAUGAACAAUGGAUCUAUAAUUUUCCAAAAUUACUAAAGUAUUGCCCAGCACAGUUGAAACAAAUAUAGCUAUUGUUCUAAUUUAUAAAAUGUUUCGUGUACCUAAAGUAUUCUAAAGUAUUUAAUAACAAUGAAGAGGUUCCUGAGUGAUAAUUCUGAUGGGAAUCCCAUGAUCACAGAUAACAGAAAACUCUUCAUAUCUCAUAAUAUCAUGAUUCAAAACACCAACCUUGGAAAAUAGUUAUAGUGCUAUGCACUUAAUUUCCUAUCACUUCCGACAUUGAUAUAACUAUAAUUGCUGUCCUUUGGAGAUUCAAACAAGAAAAUUUACUUUGCCUAGUAGAGUAGACUUCAAAUAUUGAAUAUAAGACAGAAGGGACACAUUUUAUUUUGUUAAUAUUUUCUAAAAUACAUACAACCAAAGACUGAACACAUUCUCCUAUACUCUGACUUCAUCAUGGCCAACUCUAUAUUUUCUUGGUGUGUGUGCGUGUGUGUGCGUGCGUGCGUGCGUGCGUGCGUGCGUGCGUGCGUGCGUGCGUGCGUGUGUGUGUGUGUGUGUGUGUGUUUCUCUUCAUAAAGAUUUGGGCUGGGGAAGAUCAAGGUAUUUUUGCAUCUAACUGACAAGAUCAAACGUUAGUGACUUUCCUAGAAGAUUUAAAUGGAAAGUAAAACUUGCCCUUCAGGUUCAACUCUACCUAUAUGGUCCUAUUUCCAGAAUGAAUAAUGAUAAAGUCUAGGUGAAAAGCCAUUUAAAUUUUCUAAAAGAAAGAACAUUAGUUUAUUAAUGUGAUAACUCAGGCAUUCCUCUCAUAUGGAGAGUGGUAAAUAAAGGAAAGCCUUAUAAUUAUUUGAUCAUAAGACCAAAGAACAAUAAAUACUCACACAGACUAAUGAAUACUCAUAUCUCUGAGAAAACCUUAGUCUUCAAGGCCACAUUGGAUGCUUUGUUCACAUUUUUUCUAGAGAUCCCUGCAUUUAAAUUUUUUAUACCAUUCUGUGCUGUUUUAUGGGAAUCUUUGACAGGAGAAAAUAUUAGAGAAAAUAGAAAAAUUACUUCUAAGUCUUGUCUAUGAUAUCAAAAUUACAUCAAAUUAUUAUGGCCAUUGUUUGUUUCUUAGGUCUGCAUAUUCUCAACAUUCAAUUUAAAAUAUGUGAGGUUAGAAGAAGAAAAGUAUUCCGUUUGCCACAAAACAAUCCAGUUAGAGAAGAGAUAGGAGAAAGUGUCCGUUUAUAGAUAAAAGCUUUUUUGUCUGUCUAAUGAUUGUCAGACCAACCUGUGUGAUAUGUUCAUUUGGAUUUUUUAAAUGACCCGCUCUCUUCACUUUUGGAGAUGAUGAUAUCUUCCAUGACUUACAUGAAGUAACAGUGAGAGAGCACUCAUGUCUCACAUACAACUGACAUGUCUUACAACCCAUAGCCAAAGGGAAAGAGCCAGAGAGCCUCUUCCUUAUGAUUAAGACAUUUGCAACUCUGGCAACAGUUCGUUGAAGAUGUUACUGUGGAGAGCAUCAGCCAUGGAAAUUGUAUUCCUGGGCAAAUUGUGCACCUGAGUGGUUGCCCUCAAGACCAAGCAGACAAUAGGAAAAUGAUCCUAAAAUAGGUAAGUACUGAUGACACAGUACCCACUAGAUGGUGAACAUUUUAAUCGCCAACAUGCACUGUACAAUUUUGAAUGAUACAUAUCUUCAACAUUUUAAUUUUACAUCCAUGGUUUAUGAAUUGCAAAUAAUUCCAGUUUGGGUGUCAGCAGAUGCAACAAGUUCCUGUGAAAGCUUUGUACUUUGAGUGGUUUCCUUUUGACGAAACCCUUAGCUUAUGGAAUGCAGCCAUCAGCAGUCUAUGGCAAAAUGAAAUGCUGCAAGUGUAUUUUUAUGCAGCUGGGAUCAAGUUACUAAAUGGAUCAAAAAGAAAUCAUUUCUUUGAAGAGGUAGGGCUGUUGAGACCAGUGCCCUAAAAAAUAAGUGCAAUUCUGAGGAUACAAAAACUUGUUUAUAUCACAGUGGAAGUAACUAUAGAAAUGCUGCCAUAUAUAUUCUUGCACUCAAGAUAUAUUGGAUGUCAUUCUCAACAUAUUUUCAUACCCUCUAGUUUAACAUUUGUAUUGUUAAGAGGUUAAUUUCAUGGUACAUCCCAAAUAACUGACCCAGGUAUGAACAUUUGUUUCUACUGAUUUUUGCUUAUAGCCUUAAUAAUAGAAAAAAAUAGCAGUUAUUUAUCCAAUAAAGCUCUUACACUGUGCCAAAUUGUAUCCAAAAUAUUUUCUAACAUGAUUCCAUUUGAUUUCAUAAUUAACCUUUAUUUCAAUAACCAGGGAGUAUUUUCACAAUUUUGUACAAGAAUUAGCUGAUUCUUUGAAUUUUAAAUGUAACUUUAAAAGGUUACAGAUAUUGUGUCUCAAAUAGAGAGUUAGAUAUUUGGAUUUUAAUUAAAAAUAAUCUCCUCUCAAAUAUAUAUAUUUAAAGUUAUCUAUCUCUAGAGAGGGUAAGUGUAUUUGAAUGCAGGUGUCCUCCAAGGCUAGAAGAGGUUGUCUGAUACUUGCAGCUGGAGGUAUAGACGAUAUGAACCACCACAUGUGGUUACUGGAAAUGAAACUCAGGCUCACUGCAAGACUGCUAAGCCAUCACUUCAAUGGUCUUUCAAUGUCUAAACUGUAUACUAUGUCUUUAGGUUAGAGAGCAUGCCAAUUAAUUCUAAAAUAUGAAGAACUUGUUCAUAUAUAAAAGUAUCUUCCAAAAUCUCUCCAUAUGUGAAAACCAAUUUCAUUAGCAGAGAGUCUGUAAAGUGAGAUUACAACGAUGAAGAAAGCAAACUGAAGACUACAGAGCUCAUGUGGGCAGAAGCACCGGAAUAGCUAAUAAGAGAGGGGUAUGCAGCAAUUUGUAAAGGCACAGUGGCAAGUCAUAGAAUGAAAACUCAGGAAGGGGUACUAUUGGGAACAAGUGGUUGAUCUAACAGUGCAAGGGAUAAUGUUUGUAAUGUUCUUUAAGAGAAAUAUUUUCUGGCUCUGAGUUGGAAAGCAAAAAUAAUCUCUUCAUUACCAAGACUCUCAACAUGUCACAUGCCUUUUAAAAAAAAUACCACCCUUAUUAUAUAUGAAUGUAAAGUUGGGACAGGCAGAUCACCACAGUACUAUCAUGUGAACACCAAUUUUUUUCUAAAGUAACAGAAUGAAUUACUUGCAGACCUUCAAUCGAGGUCUUAGUCCUACCCCAGUCCUGCAAGUUCAUAUUAUGUUCUGGUUUGCAUACUUUGCUGUCUCUAUAUAGUCAGAAAGGGAGACAAAUAUCAUGAAAAUUUGUGAAGAUAAAUAAAGUGGUUGAAUCUGAGUAUCUAUGUAGUUUGCAAACAAAGGCAGUGUCAGGAUGACAGUCAGAUUAGUUGAACCAAACAAUAGCUUGGUCAAGAAUUGUCUGUCCACAGGAAACAGGAAACAGGAGUCAAUAUCAAUCAGGAAAAACUCAAUUCUUCUAAUUAAGCGAUAGAUAGAGUCUGCCAUCCUUCUUAUUGUAGACAUCUCCCCAUAAUGAUGGAAUCUUGUCCUAAGUGAACAAAACUAAAUGUAUGCAACAUAGAUAUAAAGAAGUGAAUCAUUCAGCAUGUUAUUUGGUACAUGGUGAGCUUGAUCACCAUGUAAAUGCCUUUGUUGGUAAGCCAGCUAAGUACAACAGAGGUGCGAUUUAGGAAACUUACUUGUCUUUCUGUCUUUUUUCCUUCCUUCUUUCUUUUCUUCUUUUCUUUUUUUCUUUUCUUACUUUUUUCCUUCCUUCUUUCUUUUCUUUCUCUUUUCCUUCCUCUUUCUUUUUUCUUUUUUCCUUUCUUUUCUUUCUUUUUUCCUUCCUUCUUUCUUUUCUUCUUUUCUUUGUUCUUUUCUUUCUUUUCUUUUGACUUUCACAGGCACACAUUUAUACACGUGUGCAUAUAUGUGUGUGUGUGUGUGUGUGUGUGUGUGUGUGGCAACUCCGUGAGAUUUUUGAAUGUGAUUGCUAAUAUUUAUUGAUACAAUGAUUUAAAAAAUAUGGCAGUAAGUACAUAUGUCUUACACUUAAUUUUAUAAAUAAAUCAAAUUAUCCUGAACAGUGAUAGUAAACUUAAAGUUCAUAAAGUGCUUUUUGAUGAAUGAAAAUAUUAAAAAAACCUAUAACCCAAUUCAAUGUUAGGCAGGGAUAUUUACUAAUCUUAACUUUACAUACUUUCAGAAUUUUUCCCCACUGGCAUUAUUUUAAAAUGAAUUGUAGAAUCCUUUGUGUAAUGUAAAUAUCUUCAGCAAGUUCCAUAAACUUGACCCAGCACUUGGCAAAAUAUCUGCCAUGUAGAAGAUAUUCAAUAAGCACUUGUUAAAUGAAGAAGUAGUUGUGUUGGCUGUGAUGUGUUUAAAGAGGACAGAGAAACUGGAAGAAGUCAGAAAUAAAACACUAUAGAAAAUAAAGAAGACAACAACAUAAUUCAGAGACAGAGAACACAGAGAUGAAUAGAUCUUACACGCGUUCUCGCGACUGGCCAGGAAGAACGAAACAAACCGGAAUCUUCUGCGGCAAAAGCUUUAUUGCUUACAUCUUCAGGAGCAAGAGCAAGAGCAAGAGCUUUAUUGCUUACAUCUUCAGGAGCAAGAGAGCAAGAGCAAGAGAGAGAAUGGCGAAACCCGGUCCCUUUUAAGGAGAAUUAUCCUCCGCCUAGGACGUGUCAUUCCCUGAUUGGCUGCAGCCCAUCGGCCGAGUUGUCGUCACGGGGAAGGCAGAGCACAUGGAGUGGAGAACUACCCUUGGCACAUGCGCAGAUUAUUUGUUUACCACUUAGAACACAGGAUGUCAGCGCCAUCUUGUAACGGCGAAUGUGAGGGCAGCUCCCCACAAAUAGAGAAUCAGCUGACUGUCAGGAUGACAGUCAUGUUAGUUGAGCCUUUGCUGCAAAUACUGGGUGACUAGGUCAAGUUCUUGAGCAUACAUGCCCAAGGAAAGCUUGUGUAGUCUGUCUAGAAAGUAGAAGGGAAAUGGAUAGUAGAGAGUGGAGGGAGGGAUUUCAAGACCAGAAUAGACAAAUCUAUUGUAUACAAGCCCACAGUCAAAGAUUUUCUACCUCCCUGAGUGGCAGUCUAGCUUGCAGGUAGAGUAUUGACUCCUAGGCAGAGCACCAUGGCUAUAAAACAGACCACUGAGCUAGGCAAUAAAAGAGAGGGAGAGAGAAUAAGAGGUCUAAUGUUUUGUUUAUGUCCCCUUUAUGGCAUCUUUGAGAGGCUCUGCAGUCCCAGAGCUGGCUUUAGCUCAUAUGCUUUUCUGAUUAAGGCAAUACAUAGCAAAGCAAUCUAAUAUUAAUGUGCAAUUUAGAAAAAAUUAAAGGUGUGUAGAAAUCUAAGGGAAAAUUUCCCAAGCAGAGUACCUACACAAUAACAGGAUAUAAGAUUUGUUUAAUUCCUUUUUUAAAAUAAAUCCUUUGUUAUAAAUCCCUAAAUCAUCUACAACUCAUUUUAAAUGCCCAACUCCACCAUAUUGUGCUUAUUGACAGUAAUGCUUGUUUAUAGCCUAACCCUUUGAGAAUAAGAUUAUGCUCCCAGUGAAUAUUACAAGUUUCAUUAUAACAAUCCUAAUUACAGAUUAAUAAAGUCCUUAAAUGAAAAAUGCAAAUGGCCAGGAUGAAAUCAUUAUGAAAAAUAUUAUUUUUAAAAUGUAUUUAUUUACUUCAUGUUUGUGUCUCUUUUCCUAAGUGGGUUUAUAUGUACCAACUAUUUGCAGGGGCUUCCGCAAAGGUCAGAAAGGAUAUCAGAAUCUAUGGCGUUGGAGUCGCAGGCAUUGUCAGUCAGUGUGGGUUCUGGGAACUGAAUGCAAGUCUUUUGUAAGAGAGGCAAGAGCCCUUCACCACUGAGUCAGCUCUCCAGACCCAUGAAACAUAUAUAUACAAUGAAGUGUAAGGAUUGACUGAUUGAAUGACUUUGAAAAUAUAAGACACUGAAAAAAUAUUUCUCAUAAAGAAUUUAACUAUUCUUUUUAAUUUGAACACUGGCUUUAUGCUUUUAAAUUUAAUAUUGUGAAACUGAGUGGUCCUGCAGAGCUUUGCAUUGUAGGCAAAUUUUUUCCUCGAGCAUUUGGGUCUUUACAUUGUUAGGCAAGGGUUAUGUACAGAUUUAUUUUCUUUCAUCCUCCAAGAGAAUAUCUUAGCCCUGCUGAUGAUAUUACAAAACAUAUCUUAAUUAUCUCACCUGUCAAAAUGGCCCUAACAUUUUGGGACAACAGACACAAAUAAGCAGUUGUUUUGGAAAUUCUUUGACAUUAGUGGCUCAAAUCUUUAGAUUUAUAUUGUUAAUAAUAACCGAGUGGUUAAAGGAAGGAAGAAAUUUGGAACAGAGAUGGGUGUGAUUUGGAUCCAGCCAUUUAUUAUCAGACUGGUGAUGGUGUCUCAUCCAUAAAAUACCAGUCACUAGGGAUUGUGUGAGGACUGAGUAAUGUGCCUUGAGCGAGGUAGUAGAUCACACUGUGCCCAAUACAUAAUGUGUACUCAAUAAAUGGGGGCAAUUUAUAACUAUCAUAAAUGAUUGUUAGUAUUAAUAAUAAAAGCCACUCAUUACAGAAGAGUAUUGUUACCAUCACAAACCUUGCUGCAUAUACCAAUUCUAAGAAAGGCUAUUUUCUAUCUUGCUCUUCUCUGAAUUUCUACUUGUGCCAUAUUACCAUGGCUGACAGAUAGAUUUCUUGUAAGCUCAAUAAGCAUAAGUUAUUACAAUAGGGCUUCUAAAGAGGAUAGCCAGAAUCAAUGCUUUGCUUAUGCUUGCUACCAUCAGAUCUUGCACUUUCUGAUUCACAGCAAUAAUAUUACAACUACAAUGAACUUUGACCUCAGUAGAUGUUCUACUUUAAUGGAUAAUUCUUAGUUCAUAUUCUUAGCAGCUAACAUGCUACUAAAAAAUAAUACCUGUGCUCCCAGGUAUUAAAUGAAGAUGCCCAACAUCAUAAGUUCAUUUAGAAGAGGCAAUAUGCAUAUUAAAAUAAUCUAUACAUCAAGUCAAAUUCUCAUGUACUUAUGAGGGAAGAAAACAUACCACUGCUGUUACUAGUUUGUGAGUGAAGUAGGAUUCUGUUCUUGCACCAGUAUUCUGGCUAGUUUAUUCCUGUGGUAUGCACAAAGGCGUGGGUUGCAGGAGUAGAAGAAGAAAACUCUUAAAGGAUGAAUUAUCACGUACUACCUGGUGGAAAUGAUGUAAUCAUUUAUUGGGCUGAGAACGAGCUAUUCUUGUUAGUUUUGCAAAGAAACUGACAAAUAUAAAUUGGAAUCUGGCAAGAGCUGUAAAGGACACUGGAGCUUUUUAACAGGAGGUAAAUCAGCUUUAGGUUACACAAAGUAGUCAGAGCAAUGCGAGUGACGUCCACCAGAACUGUGCCCAUCAGAUAAUAAUACUUCUUGCAUAAGGAAAGGAAGUCUAGCCUAAGCUACCAGCAGAACCAGCCAAUUUGGCUUUGUUCAUUAACAGCAAAUAUGCUCCAGUAUAAAUCAACUGCUCAGAAAGCUCUCCUUGGUAUAGAUUUAACCUUAAAACAAUUUUUUGAGAUAGAAUUUCAGGUCUGGAACUCAAAGUUUUUAGAUCAGGCUGACCUCAAAGUCACAGAGAUUCACUGGCAAAGGAUUAAUGGUAUAAGUCACUACAUUUGGAUAGAUUUAGACAUUUUGAGAACUGGAGCCACAGAUAUGUCCAAAAGAAAUGAUUUUCAAAACAAGAUCCUCUGUACCCUAGAGAGGACUUCUACAGGCCAGGCAAAAGUGUUGUUAGUCUUAAAACAAAACAAAACAAAACAGAGCAAAACACCAGUAUCAGCUCAUUAGAGAUUCUAAAACUGAGGUAUAAUAAGGCCCAGCAGGCCCAGAAUAGCCGUGGAGUGUUAACAUGGUGUGGCUUAAACUCCAAUGAAGCAACACCAGAAACCAGUGCGGCACACCUAUAAUAGCAUGGCUGGGAUUCAUGUCCUGCUGAGCAUGAGAAGUUGUGGCCUGGCACAGAAUAUCCCAGUCUUUCGUCAGAACCAAGAAAAAUAGCUAGGAAUGAAGUUAAAAGAAUAACUUUAUAAACUGAUGAGUGGCUCAGGUAUGGAGAGUACUUCUGUGCCAUGUGCAAAGUCGCAAACACUAUCGCCACCACAGCAAAAAAGUCUUUUGUUUUUAAACAGAGUUGGAAAAAAUAAUCAAGAUUUAAGAUGGCCAGAUGAGGUAGUGUACAAGGCAGGAGGUAGUAUUAAGGCAGCAGUUAGAAGGCUCAAGAAGAUGCAUCAAAAGUCUGAGAAUAUUUUAUAGUAUACACAGUGAGGCCCAGGUCAGCCUGUGUUACACAAAGAGUUUGUACCUCGAAGCCCAAAAUGAAGCCAAAUCUCUAUAAUUCUACUUACAGAUCAGUGAACAGUGCCAGCCUUCAUCACUAGUAUGCAAUGCUGGUAUACAGUAAGUUCUUGCUAAAUUAGUGGAUUGUUUCUUCUUUCUUUUCCAUUAGACUGAUUUCCCCCCAAUGAUUACAUAAACACUUAUUAUGAUUCUGAUUUUCAAAUACAAAUAAGAUUAUAAUGAAACUAGAACAUCAGAAAAGGUGAUUGGUACUGAUAGUUUUUGAAUGUGUAUUAAGAUAUUUAUAAAUUAUCUUGGCACAUAGGAAGAAAUUUACAUCUGUUUGCCAGCAAAAUGACAGUAAACUGAAUACAUAUCAAAAAUGGCUGUCAAUACAGUUAAAUGGAUAAAAAUCACACUUGCAAUGCAACAAUGGACACCUGAGUUCAAAUCCCCAAGAACCACACAAAGAGUGCACAUGGCAUGGUCACGUGUGACUGUAUCCACAGCACUAAGGGGCAGAGAAGUCUACCUGCAAUGGUGAGCUUCUAGUUCAGUGAAACACCAUGCCCAUUUCAAGAAAAUAAAGCAGAGAGAAAUAGGACUCUUGUAUCCUUGUAUACACAUACAUUCACACACACACACACACACACACACACACACACAUACACACACACACACACAGAGAGAGAGAGAGAGAGAGAGAGAGAGAGAGAGAGAGAGAGAGAGAGAGAGAGACUUUGAAAGCUAUCAGGAAGUAAGGGGAGAAAACAUUGUCGUUGGCGUCAUCAAUAAUAUAUUCUUUGAUAUUUAGUAAGUGCACGUGGUGUGCCAGAUCUGAAAUAGCUUAUUGUGAUCAACCUUCACCUCUAGGACUAACACUGUUUCGCUGUCAGGAGGAAUUAAUCAUGUGUGCCGCUAUGGAAGGUAUGAUUCACAGGCACAGGCAGCCACAAUGCCCAGUGGACAUAUCAGUUCUGUCACUGGGAAAUGACAAAGGGUGGAAGGACAGGCACACUAGGGAGGUCAGAAGAUUCUACCUGUUCACUAAUAAAAAUUGUGCAUUUUACUUGCAAUGCUCCAAGAACAAGGCCCUUAGAGGGCGCCUUCCUUCUGCUUUGCCAAUCUUCUUAUUCUACUUUUGCUCUUUUCUUCUUCUCUUCUUCAGGAUCCUUCGCUCAUAUGCAUUUACUUUAUUUUCCUCACAGUUGCCUCUUUGAUGAUAUAUUUCUUAGUCAUGACCAUCUUUGUGGGUGGGUAGUUUUUGUUUUCCCUUUAAUCUGAUUUUUGUCAGAAUCAAUUAGUUGGCUAAAUAUGGGUAGAUAUUUGCUUAAAAGUUUGAACCCCAAAUUAGAUCUUCCUUGUCUACCAUCAUAAUUUGUGUACAUUGCCCAUGUCCCCCACAAUCAUUUUCUCAGAGAGCCAAACUGAAAAAAAAGGGAAAAAAGUGUGGGAGAGAGAGAGAGGGGGGGGGAGAGAGAGAGAGAGAGAGAGAGAGAGAGAGAGAGAGAGAGAGAGAGAGAGAGAGAGAGAGAGAGAGAGACUGGGUUAAGAAUAGAAACAGCAUCCUGAAAAUGGUGGCAUACAUCUUUAAUCUCAGCACUCCAGAGGUAGAGACAAGCAGAUUGCUAAAUUCAAGUACAACCUGGUCGAUAGAGCAAGUUCCAGGGUUAUACAGAGAAACUCUGUCAAUAAAUAAAUGAAUAAAUAAAUAAAUAAAUAAAUAAAUAAAUAAAUGCAAAACAAGAAUGAAAGAAGUAGUUUAUGAUAUACCCUGAAAUUAUUCAGUCCUAGACAUUGGACACGUGUUGUUGCAGCUCUUGCUUUACCUUGAAAUUUAAUGCUGGAGUAGAGUGGGAUCAUUGGCUUCUUUCAUCUCUAGCUGUUUCUGUUGGUGUAAUUACCAAUGAUCACUUAGACUCCUGACACCCUUCCUCACCACUGGGAAAUGCACUGCUAGAACGAUUGAUGGAGAGCUAGCCAUCAGUCUCCCAUCCCUCUGAGAACUGCCCAUCCAGCCUGAGCCCUCUCCUCAUCUUGUAGUUGCCUAGAAGGAUAAUGCCCUUUGUUAGAUGUGGAAGAUGAGAAAGAAAUGGAGAAAGAAGUUACCUCACCCCAGCCUUACUACACACAGGGUGAUAGGCCAGAUUUACAUGACCUCUUGGCUAUUUCUGCCUUUAACCGGAGAAUAUGGAUUUUUGUAAGUGGGAAAGAAAUUUAAUUAGUCUAUGUUUUCCUACCUAUUGACAAAUAGUAAAAUCAGAUUGGCUUAAAAGAUUACAUCUUCUCUGUAAUACAUUGCUCAGAAACCCGUUUUCUACUGAACUCUUCUGGCCUGUGGAUCCCCAACCGCCCCCCCCCCCAACAGCAACAACAAAUCUGCAACUCCACCACAGAUGUGGAAACAGGUUGCCUAUCAUAUAAACAUUUCUUCUAGUUUAGACUUCCACACCAUCAUUCUCCAAUACCAUUCAAAACAUCAAUAUUACUUUUGAAUUACCUGCCACUUUGUCUGACCACUCGGUCUUUUUCUCCACCCACACACAUCGCUUGUUCCUUUGAUUCACCAGGUCCAUCACAUCUGCUCUUUAAGAUCCUUCACCCGCUCAUCUCCGGCAGCUUAUGAAUCAAUGUCCCUUAAACUUGGAAGAACCUUAUGAUCAAUGUAUUUCAGACUACCCUCUAACUUCUGAAAGAAAUAAACUUCCCUAAGCUCCAUCUGUUUAGAGAGGCCGGUUUCAAUGAUCACUCCCUUAAAGACUUUUAAAACACUGGUAUGGCUUGGCUGUUCAAUAUUCAGUGAUCUGUAAAGAUUCGUGUGCAAAAAGCUUGGUCCCCAGGUCUUGGGAGAUGGCAGAAUCUUUGGAAGGUGAAAUUCAGUGGAGACAGCCAGGUGUGUUAAAUCAGCAUGGGCUUAUGGUUUCCAAGACUUUGGAGAUCUCUGUUCUUCCCCUCCUGUUAAUGUCCCAGCUAUGAGGUCAGCCCUUCCCAUGCCUUCAGAACAGUUCAUUAACACUUGAGUGAAGCAACAGUUGUAUUCCACUGAGAGUUAGAUCAUAGUCAUUCCUAUCCCCAUAAUUAAUUGUUUCCUUCCCUCCUAUAUUAUUAAAUCUUCUCAUGUCACACCCAAUAGGUCAAGCAUUCUGUAGACUGCAGCAUAGUAUACUCACUCUAACAACUUCCUUAAGUACUGCCAGACAGUAUUUGAAAGUGGUAAAUCUCAGAAGCCAUAACAGUAUGCAUUCACAGAAUGGACCUCAUGUAUAUGCUACUGGAGAAUGUUGAUGUAGGUGGCUUCCACUCCAAACCAGCCCUGACAAUGGGCUGACCAGGUAUGACAGCAUGCCAUUUUGUGAUUUCUUUAUUGAGUUGCAUAUUAACCACCACAUUGAUUUCUACCACAGCUGAUUCCCUUUCUAAUAAAGUUUCUAAGCUUUUUUUUUUCAUACUGCAUAGACAUGUAACCUCUGACACCUCCACCACCCUGCUGCCUCAAUUAGAAGUUUAUUAUUAUUAUAUAUUUCCUGGAUGGACUUAUCAUUUUAUCAGUGCUUUGAUAAAAAUAAUGAAAACCUUCCACUUAGGUUUAUAAACAUGAUCUCAAGAUAAAAAGUUAACCUUAAUAGAAUUCAACUUCAAAAGUCCCCUGACAAGAAAAUAACAUCAUUAAUAUCUGUAAAUGAAUAUAUAUUUACACGUAUAUUCAAAAUUGAUAUUCUGAAAUGACAGUUCUGAUGUGUAAGAUGGUUGCUAAGAAACCAAAAGUCUUAUAUCACAUACAGCAUGCCUAGGCUGGGGAAAGGGAGUGAAGCAAGAUGGAACAAGUUCCUACUAUGAAAAUUCACAAUUUGUGUAUUCCUAGUAUUUCCACUUAUACCCUUGGAACAUAGCUGCUUAAGCAACUGAAACCAUAAGAAACAAAAUGUAGAUCAAAUGUAGACUAUUUCAGAUGAGUGUACAUAAAUGCACCUCAGAAAAACAUUCUACAUGUUAUAUUUCAGUACUUUAUUAUUAAUAUUUAGUAUCACAUAAUGCAUUGAUAACAAAUCUACCUUUUUAAAAAAUUCCCUAAUUAAAAUUAUUUUCCCAAAAAAUUAAAGAUUCUAAAUAUUCCAAACUGGUCAUUGUUGGCAAAUAUUAUUUUAAAUAACUACAGUAAAAAACAUUUCCAGAGGCAGGUAGAUUUAUGAGUUCGAGGCCAGCCUGGUCUACAGAGUGAGUUCCAGGACAGCCAGGGCUAAACAGAGAAACCCUGUCUCGAAAAACCAAACCCAAACCAACCAACCAAACAAACAACAACAAAAACCCCCAAAAAGAACAACAACAAAAAAACCAACCAAAAAUUACUAAAAAAGAUGGGAAAGGACACUAAAUACUCAUCAAAGGAAAAAUCAACCAAGACAAACUCAAUUCUGAAUAUCUAUGCCCCAAAAGACAUUUGUCAAAGAAAUGUUAUUGAAGCUCAAAGCACACAUUGAACAUCACACAAUAAUAGUAGGAGAUUUCCACACCACACUCUCACCAAUGGACAAAUCAUGGAAAGAAACAAACAGAGACACAGUAAAACUAACAGAAAUUAUGAACCAGAUGGAUGUAACAGAUAUCUACUGAACAUUUCACCCCAAAACAGAAGAAUAUACACUGUCCUUACCACUUCAUGCUUCUUCUAAAAACCCAACCAUAUAAUCAGGAACAAAAGAAACCUCGACAGAUACAAGAACAUUGAAUCAUUCCAUUGUAUUCUAUUGGACCACCAAUAACAACAAACACACGAGAAAGAUCUCAUACAUGUGGAAUCUGGACUACUAUCUACUCAAUAAUAACUUGGUCAGGGAAGAAAUAAAGAAAUAAAUUAAAGACUUUUUAGAAUGCAAUGAAGAUGAAGGUACAACAUACCCAACCUUAUGGGACACAAUGAAAGCAAUGUUAAGAGGAAAAUUCAAAGCCCUGAGUGCCUCCAUAAAGAAACUGGAGAGAUCAUACACUAGGAGCUUGACAGCACAUCUGAAAGCUCUAACACAAAAAGAAGCAAAAACAGCCAAAAGGAGUAGACGGCAAGAAAUAAACUCAGGACUGAAAUCAACCAAGUAAAAACAAAGAGAACUAUAUAAAGAAUCAACAAAACUAGGGGGUGAGAGCUCUUGACUCUAGCUGCAUAUGUAUCAAAAGAUGGCCUAGUCGGCCAUCACUGGAAAGAGAGGCCCAUUGAACUUGCAAACCAACCAACCAAACAAACAAACAAACAAAAAAACCAACAAAACCUUUUCCUGAACUUAUGAUUUAAAUAAUUAAAUCUAUAAACAUAAAAUGCUGGAAACUGUACUUAGUAGUAACAUAAUUGAAAAAAAUCUUUAGAUAAUUUAACUCAUGAUUAUCUCAACAAAAGCCAAUCAUGAGUUUUAGUGACCAAAACAGUUUGGUUCAUAAAUGGUUAUAUGAGCUAAUGAUUCUUACUUACAGCAUAGGUAAUUGGGAUAUUCUCCUUUUUAGUGCAAUGAAGAAGGAUGUGCAGUAACUGUAGUAAUGCUAUAAAUUAGUAAGAUUAGCAUAAACAAAUAUGACCAAGUAUUAGAACAUUUUACAUUAAGAGGUGACAGUGGAAGGUAGGCGUGAUAACAAUUAGUUCUUAUGCUUUUUUGAAAAGUUUUUAUGCUACUUAUGACUCCAACUUGUAAUAGAAUAUAGGAAUAACAGAAUAGACUAUAGGAAUAUAAGAAUGUCGUCAGACAUUCACUCUGCAGUGACCUGGUGGAAUCAGUGUACUGGAAUGAAUCCUGGAAAAGAGGGGGUUAUGAGGCAGGCAGGCAGCCUCCAGGUGAACUCCAGUAUUUUCAUCUGCUUCUAGUUCAUUCUGUGCCACUAGGGACUGGGCAAGGAGCAGAAUGCAGAGUUCUGUCCAUGCUCCUUGUAACAUUGUAUUACAACUAUUCUCUUCAUUUAUAGUUGGCAAAAUUGAGACUUGGUGAUUUUCUAGAUACUACCUAAAUAAAGUUCUUUGUGAAAGGAACAAACCCAUACAACUUCACGUUGUCACACCAGUCAAAUAGGGCUGGAUUCAUCUUGUGUUUCCAUACUUUCUCAAUUAAUACUUUUUACCCAUGAAUCUACAGAAUAGUCAGUUGUUGAAGAUACAAGAUAUUUUAUACAAGGAAUAUGAAAAGACAGUGUAUGGUUGGAGAGAAAGUCCCCUAAUAAUAAGUACAGUCCUGUCUGCAUUUUUCACAUAUUAUAAAAGAAAAGCCCCUUUGAAGUAAGAAUAAUAAAACAAUCUUGUCUAAAUGAGUAAAAACCAUUUUUUAUUAAACUAUUGUCAAUUGAAUGUUUUCUGUUCUUCAUGUGACAUUGUUCCUGGUGUGCUCAUGGCACCAGCACUGGGGAGAAAGGUGAAUAAGCAUAACAGUGGUCAUGUCUGUAUGUCUUUAACAGUAUUAAGUAGCAGUGGUCCUUUAAAAUACAUGUAGGUUUCUUUAUCAUUUACAUUUUCUACUUACUCAAACUUAUGUAAUGAACUUCUGUCAGACAGAUACAUGAGUGCGAAGUUGAGUUCUAUUCAGUUACUCUGUUAAAUGCAAAAGUGUUAAGAACAGUAUGAACAAGUAUUUGACAGCUAAAGUGCAUGGUCUUAAGCCUCUCUUCAGGGAGUCUGUGACUUUUCUUAAUGGCAUUAGAAAAUGGGUUCUGAUUAGCAUUUCCCUGAUGAGUAAGGAUGUUGAACUUUUUUUUAGGUGCUUCUCAGCCAUUCGUUAUUCCUUAAUUGAGAAUUCUCUGUUUAGCUCUGUACCCCAUUUUUUUUAAAUAGGAAAGGUUAUUUGUUUUUCUGAAGUCCAACUUCUUGAGUUCUUUAUAUAUAUUGGAUAAUAGCACUCUACAGGAUUUAGGAUUAGUAAAGAUCUUUCCCCAAUCUGUUGGUUGCCAUUUGGUCUUAUUGACAGUAUCCUGUGCCUUACAGAAGUUUUUCAAUUUUAUGAGGUCCCAUUUGUGAAUUCUUGAUCUUAUACCACAAGCCAUUGGUAUUCUGUUCAGGAAUCUUUCCCCUGUGCCCAUAUCUUCGAGACCCUUCCCCACUUUUUCCUCUAAAAGUUUAAGUGUUUCUGGUUUUAUGUGGAGUUCUUUAAUCCACUUACACUUGAGCUUCGUACAAGAUUAGAAUGGAUCAAUUCCCAUUCUUCUACAUGUUAACCGUCAGUUGAGCCAGCACCAUUUGUUGAAGAUGUUCUCUUCUUUCCACUGGAUGGUUUUAGCUCCUUUGUCAAAGAUCACAUGAUUUUCGGUGUGUGGGUUCAUUUCUGGGUCUUCAAUUCUAUUCCAUUGAUCUACCUGUCUGUCAUUGUACCAGUACCAUGCAGCUUUUAUCACAAUUGCUCUGUAGUAGAGCUUGAGGUCUGGGAUGGUCAUUCGACCAGAGGUUCUUUUAUUUUUGAGAAUAGUUUAUGCUAUCCUAGUAUAUUUAUUAUUCCAGAUGAAUUUGCAAAUUGCCCUUUCUUACUCUGUGAAGAAUUUAGUUGGAAUUUUGAUAGGGAUUGCAUUAAAUCUGUAGCUUGCUUUUGACAAGAUAGCCAUUUUUACUAUAUUAAUUCUGCCAAUCCAUGAGCAUGGGAGAUCUUUCCAUCUUCUGAGAUCUUCUUCAUUUUCUUUCUUCAGAGAUUUGAAGUUCUUAUCAUACAGAUCUUUCACUUCCUUAGUUAGAGUCACACCAACGUAUUUUAUAUUAUUUGUGACUAUUUUGAAGGGUGUUGUUUCCCUAAUUUCUUUCUCAGCCUGCUUAUCCUUUGUGUAGAGAGAGGCCACUGAUUUGUUUGAGUUAAUUUUAUAUCCAGCUAUGGUACUGAAGCUGUUUAUCAGGUUUAGGAGUUCUCUGGUGGAAUUUUUGAGGUCACAUAUAUACUAUCAUAUCAUCUGCAAAUAGUGAUAUUUUGACUUCUUCCUUUCCAAUUUGUAUUCCUUUGAUCUCCUUUUGUUGUUUAAUUGCUCUAGCUAGGACUUCAAGUAUUAUACUGAAUAUGUAGGGAGUGAGUGGCAGCCUUGUCUAGUCCCUGAUUUUAUUGGGAUUCCUUUAAGUUUCUCUCCUUUUAGUUUAAUGUUAGCUACUGACUUAUGCUCUAUGAUCAAGAAUUGAAAACUGAGACCUCAUAAAAUUGCAGAGCUUCUGUAAGGCAAAGAACACUGUCCAUAAGACCAAAAGGUCACCAACAGAUUUGGAAAAGAUCUUUACAAAUCAUAUAUCUGAUAGGGGCCUAAUAUUCAAUAUAUACAUAUAAAGAACCCAAGAAGUUGGACUCCAGGAAACCAAGCAACCCUAUUGAAAAAUGGAGUACAGAGCUAAACAAAGAAUUCUCAACUUAGGAAUACCGAAUGGCUGAGAAGCACCUGAAGAAAUGUUCAACAUCCUUAAUCAUCAGGGAAAUGCAAAUCAAAACAACCCUGAGAUUCCACCUCACACCAGUCAGAAUGGCUAAGAUCAAGAUAAAAAACUCAGGUGACAGCAGAUGCUGGCCAGGAUGUGGAGAAAGAGGAACACUUCUCCAUUGCUGGUGAGACUGCAAGUUGGUACAACCGCUCUGGAAAUCAGUUUGACUGUUUCUCAAAAAAUUGGACAUAGUUCUACUGGAAUAUCCAGUAAUACCACCCUGGGAAAAUACCCAGAAGAUGCUCCAACAUGUAAGAGUCAUCUUUGCCAAUGGAGUCAUACAUAGAGUGAAGUAACAAGAAUGAAGUAGGUACUGUGUGAAUAUUGUACAAAGCAGAUGUUAAAGUAGCCUCUACUUUAGGGGUGAAAUUCAUAUUUUAGUCUAACACUGUGCAUCACACUCCUUAUUCUUUAUGAUGCUAUGAUGUCUACAUUUUUUGUAAAAGUUAAAUUGACAAAUGAAAACUUAAAUAUUGUUAUAGCAAACUUAACUUCAAAAUUCUUUACAUCAAGUCACCCAAUUUGCUUUCUUCUUGUUUCAUCCCUAAUGGUUUAACAACUUGAAAUAUCAAAUUCCCUUAUAACUGCAUGUACUUUUCUUUAAAUAUUCAAUACUGAGAGAAGAAAUAUGACUUUUCUUAUUAAGUGUAGAAAACUGGUGUUAAUGAUAAGUUGCAUUAUUGAAAGUGAUUAUACCUGAAGGAAUUUAGAAACUUUUUUAAUCUUGGAAUAACUGGUUUGUUAAGUGACGUAUAUCUCACACAUUAGUAGACUUUCAGCAUUUUUUUGCAGUGUUCCUACAAAAUCAGCUUACAAACAGCUGCCAAGUUGCUGGUAUUUAACAACAAAAAAGCAAAAAUGUAAAGCACACACCCUCUAUCCUAGCAUGCUCCAGGCUGAUCUUCACAAGCAUGAGACUACCACCAGCACAACGCCAGGGAGCUCUGGCCUCCUGGCAUAACCCACACUGCUGGGAAUCAGUAUGAAGUUCUGGAGGUGAAGCAAACAGGUGCAUGAUUAGGCAAGUUGAUGUGGAUGUGUAAAGGGGUCAGGAUCACAGAGAGGAAGGAGACAACAGUUAAUAAGAGGAUUAUACAGAGGAUGCAACCAAGUACUGGCAUCCAAAGGUGGAUCCUUAUAUUUCUGGCUGAAAAUGGUGAUGGUGUUGGAGAACAAUGCCAGUAAGAGAGCAAGCACAAAGACCACAAUUCUAUUAGGAACGUGGUUGUAACUAGCCCUAAUUAUAUUGUUUUACAAACAAUUCAUUUUACUACAGUAAAGAAUACUUUUGAUUUUAAUGUCAUUUUAUUUUUAAUACAAUAGUUGUAACCCUAUUUGAAUGUACUCUGUAAGGCUCUGUCAUUUACCUUAAAAUUCUUACAUGUGGUAUUAAAGAUUUAGGAGCAUCAGGACAAUGUUGGUCUUUAUUAGAGUAGAACCUUUUGGUAAAGGCUCCAAUUGCCAUUUAUUUAAGCUCCAAUGUACUAAUAAAGUAGGCUGGCUUAUAUCAAAUGUAUCAAUGUGUCUUAAUCUCUGAUCUGAGACUCUCUUUAGGUUCCUAAGCUUCUAAUUUACAGAGAAGAAUGAGAAUAAAAUGAUCAGGGAGCCACACACAGCUGAGAGAGGAAGGCAACACAAUUAAAAAUAUUUUUCCUUUAUUAUAUUUUUCCUGUUUGCAAGCCAUUUCUGUACAACUAAAAUAUAUGCAGAGGGGCCACCUCAUUUAAUAAUAUUUUUUUCUAAUGACAUAACAAUCCUAUGAGCAAUUGACUUCACUUGUAAACGUCUCUGUAGAUUAAUUUUUGCUAUUACCUAAUGAGGCAAAUUAUGAAGCUUACUUAUCAAUUUAUCAAAGUUGCCAUGUAUGGUAAUCAUUGAGGUGUCUCUUUCGUGAGUUAUCUUCUAUUUGUCAUGGAUAAAGACAAACAUGCACUUCUUACAUGAAUUACUAAUAAGGUUAACAGAGUAACCACUAGGGAUAAACCUUAAGAAUCAAGCCUCUAUCAAUUAAAGAAUUCCAAAAUACCUGGAAUGAGAAUUCAAACUCCAAAUCUUUUCAGGUAAGCCAUAUAUGUGCUUAUUUUCCAGCUAUGUAAGCACUACAAUCACUGUCAUGUUCAUCCCCCUGUGAAACAAAGGUUGACUGUAGCAAAACAUUUUCAUGGGUUGCAUCUCACUGUAUUUGGAUUUUUGUUCUUUGGUUGUUUUGUUGUUUGUUUGUUUGUUUGUUUGUUUGUUUGUUUGAUGGUUUCUGUAGAAACUUACCAGAUGAUGGUAAGGAUUGGGAAAGUUAAUACAUCUAAUUAAUGAGGUGAGAUGGGUUACAGUAGGCAAGGCUAACCCACUUUUAAAAAACUGUUAUUGAAACAUUACUUAGUAUAAACCAAUAUAUUUGGGAGAUAUAUUAUCAGAGGAGUAGGAGUAGUCUUGAUAUCACUAAUGUCUAACACCUGAUACACACACACACACACAUGCACGAGCAUUCUAUACACUAAUCAGCUUGUGAAAAGGACCAGGAAAUAGCAAUUGAGUAAGCAGACAAAAGGAAUGUAUUAAGAGUCAAAUGAAUAGCAUUUAAAUCCAAUGGGUUUUACUUAAAAUCCCCAGUUCUUUAAAAUUUGAAUUAAAUGGGGCUAGAGAGAUGGCUCAGAGGUUAAGAGCAUUUGUUCAUAUCCAAAAACCCAAAAGGCAUCUUACAACCCUCAUGUUCCAGGAGAUGUGACACAUUUUUAAAACUUACUUGGGCACCAGGCACAAACUUGAUGUACAAAUACAAGUGUAGACAAAACACCUACUCACAUAAGAUAAUUAAAGACCAAAUUUAACCACAUGACAACAUUUAUGGGAUAGGAGAGAAUACAACAAUUCUGAUAAACUAAUCAAAAGCAACAAAUGUCUCUAAAAGUUUUACUUUUGCUUUUCGCAUGUUAAUAUAUUGGAUUUUGAGGCUGAGACCUCUCAGGAUAUGGUAAUAGUUAUAAAGACACCGGCCUUGUAGCUCAUUUAACUGCUUCCUGAAGUGUGAGCCUUGUGAUGCUUUGAAUAGAACUUCCAUGGGAAAAAGCAAGAAUUUGUUAAUUUAAGAGAUGCCUUGCCUAUUGAGAGCAUAUUGGGCAUUUAUGAGAAACUAGAGAUGAGCAAAAUAAGCCACUGUAAACUUUUCUCUUUUUAAGUUUGAUAACAAUGCGAAAUACACUGAGUGUCACAGUUUGCUUUUAUUAUAGCAACUAGAAACCUCAUUUUCUUUGUAUUUCUUUUAUUUCAUCUAUUAAGACAAGAACUUUCUAAAUGAUUUCUUCAUUUUUAUUAUAUGAAUACAUAUGCAUCUGUUUAUGUCUAUGUACACAUAUGUACCAGUACCCGGAGGACAGAAGAGGGUAUCAGGUACUCUGGAGAUAUAGAUACAGGUAGCCACCCAACAUGAACACUGGGCACUGAACUCCACAUAUCUCAAAGAACAUCAAUUGUUUUUAUCCAGUGUGCCAUCUUUCCAACUUCAGAGACAACCAAGGCCUUAUGUAUCUCAUAUUGUUCUCAAACUCCUUAUGUGGCUGAGGAUGACAGAGGACUUCUGAUUGGGCAGUUGCCGACCUCUCAAGUGCUAAGAUUACAGGUGUAUUCACCAUGCUCAGUUUUAUAUGAUCAUGGGGACCAGACCUAUGGCUUCCUAUAUGCUUUAGGUAGAGUGUUUGCUAGCAUUUCUCCUAAUUCUUUGACAAUAUUAACUCUUCUAUGAGAAUAGCCCUCAAUACAUAGAUCAGCCCUUGGAAAACUAGCUCCACCUUCAGGGAUCUUCAGUGCAGAAGCCCAUUCACUUGUGUCUAAAAUGUCCUUCUAAUGAACUAUUACAUAGGUACUGGCUCACUAAAAUGUACUUUUCAUAAAAUAAAACUAGCAUUGAGUUUACUGAGAAUGGUGAUUAACUAUCUCGAUAAGAAAGCUGGCUGCUACUCAACACCUGGAAGUGCUGUAAAUGGUGCCAUGUGUGUGAGCAUGCAGGUGUCUAUGUGAGAAUCCUCAUGUGUGUACAAGAAUGCCAGGACUGCCAAGAUCCAGGCAAUGGUGCUUUAUCAAAGUAUCUUGGGUGCUGAUAACAGUAGAUUCAGCUUCAAACCACUGUUACUCUUGUCUAAAAGAAUAAAAUUCUCCUUGUGUUAACUUCUUUAUUAGCCAUUUAACUUGAUAACUUGUGGGGUGGUACAUAUUUCAUUAAGAACUAUUUAUGAUAUAAUGAUAUGAAGGGAAAACUUUAUUACAGUGCCAUAUAGUAGACAAAUAUAAAACCACUUAUACUGUUGUUACAAAGAAAUAUAUACAUAUUAUUUCAUACCUUGCAUACAUAUAUAUGUGUGUGAUUGUUAAGAGGUUUUUUUUAUUUCUUGUUUGUUUUAAUGGGUUUGAGUUCUGCUUAAUAUUAAGGUAUCAAUAGUUGCUUUUCUUUUAGUCAUCCUCAACUUGUGUGCAAGAGAGACACACUCAAAGGACAGGCAAAGUGAGAAUAGCACCACCUGAGAAGGACAGAUAAAUUCUGGGAAGAAGUAUCCUCAUACUAACUAAGUGGCCAAGCCUGAAAAAUGCCAGGCUUUGGGACUCUGGAGCUCUGUGGUAUCUUAAUGAUUAAGACAAGGAAGGGCUAUCUUUAAUUGUUCUUUAUAAUUUCUCCAGAAGUUUUGUGAGCAAUUUUAUAUAAAAGAAGAUUGAUUUUACUUUUUUAAGGUAUCUUGAGCUAGGAGAAACAAAUAGAGACACACCAUCACAGACACAGACACAGACACAGACACAGACACAUUGAGACACAGAGACAUGCACACAGAUACAGAACUCAUACAGAUACAAUAUACACACAGACAUAACAUACAUACACAGACACAGAGCAUGUGAGUUACUGAGGCAGAGACAGGCACACAGACACCACAUACAAACAGAUACAGACAAGCGCACACACAGGCACACAGACACCACACACACAGAGAUACAGGCAUGCACACCAGCACAACACAAAUACACAGGCACACAGACACCACACCCACACCCACACACAUGCACUUUGUAGCGGCGGCAGAUUCCAUUCCAGUCCUGUCUUGUAAAUCCAUCUGCUCUAAUAUCCUGCUCCAACCUGAGUUUUCUGUCUGUCCAAUUAGAAUUUUCUUGACUCUCUUCUGCCUUACUCUGUCCCUUUGAGACAAAGCAUGGAAAAGUUAAUCUUUAUAACAAGAAACAAUGAAAAGGAAGAGUUUCAGAGUGGAUCUCAGUCAUACUGUCCCUUAGACCAUUCUUUCUUGUACACAGUAAACUAGAAAUAUAAUGGUCACUUAUCGACCUCCACUAAAGGGUCUUCUCCUGUAUGGCUCUCUUCUCAUCCUGACAAAGAACAAGGAAAUAAGUAGCCAUGGACAGGCAGGGUUUUUGUUGUUGUUGUUGUUGGUUUUGUUUUUUGUUUGUUUGUUUGUUUGUUUUUGUUUUGUUUUGUUUUGUUUUGUUUGAGGGGGUGGUGUUCUACUACGAACAAUAGACUCUGAAAGUAAAGGCUUGGCAUAGAUUGACUUAACAUUAAUAGUGGUUCUGAGCCAGUUACAAAUGAGAACACUAAAGCAUUAAGGGUCAGGGGACAUUUUUUUUUUUCAGUUUCUCUGAGGAAGCUUCUUCUGUAGCCACACCUAGUCUCUCUUGCACUGUGUUUAAGGCUAUCCUUAGGUUCCUGAAUUUCCUCCUUGAUCUACCAAAGGCUGAGUCACAAAUGGGUACUGCCACAUCUGGCCCACGGUGGACACCUCCCCACCAAGGUACAAGUUCUUGGAGAACUGAGAUUUUCAACAUUUGCUAACAAAGACUUCCUAAGCAGAGAUUUCUCUACAGUUGUUCUUUGCCUAUUGACAGUAAAAAGAGAGAGCAUAAAGGAAUUAGGAGUAUUUAAACCCGUAGAAAUGAAAUUUAUUGUCUUUUAGGAUUUAUCCUACUAGCCCUACAUAUUGGCUCAACCCUAUAUUCCUUUAGAGGAAUAAAGGUAUUUAUGUAUAAAAAUCCCAUCCUAGUUUCAAUCAGUUAAUUAACAUUAAAGAUCAACAACAGCAACAGCAAUACCAUCAACAACAAAAACACCUCUAAUAUUUUUAGAAGAUGAUUCUCAUAUACCCCAAGUAAGAUUUUGUAGUCCAACAAAAUAGUAUAAGGACAUUAUACAUUAUUAAACCCAAAAUAAAAGAAUACUUAAAAAUAAUUUUCAUCAGUUUAAAUCUGAGCUUUGCUUUACAAACACACAAAAUUCGGUGACUGUGUAACAAGAGUUUCAGACUUUUCUCAGAUCCAGGGACUCUUGGCUUCUUGUUAUUGUUGUUGUUAAAUGGGAUUGAUUUAUUGGCUGAGUUUCCUUCAAUAGCUCUCAGCACAUGUAGAAUCAUUUAGCAAAUCUGCAUUAUUUCAAUAAUCAACCAAGGUCAUCCUUUUUAUAGAUUCAAACAACACGGAAUUCCAGCCAUUCCUCCGUGAGCUAAAGCUCACUGGCUAUUGUAUUCAUUGUCUUAGUGGUCUUAUUAUUUCUCUUGAGAGAGCAUGUUGGGUAAAGUCCAUUAAUUAAAGAGAGAAGAUUAUUUUAAUGCAAUAUCACAAGCAUUAGAAUUUAUUUUAAUAAAAUACGAGGGAAAUAAACCAACAUGUAUAUUAGGAAGUCAGGGAUGGGGAUAGCUUAAGGAAAAUGUUUGUGCAAAUGCCAAAAGAAGUCACAUAACAUCUCCAAUAAAUGUAAAUAUUCUGAAAGACUAGUAUUUUUCAGCGUACACUGAGCUGAGGACCUACUACUGAGGACUGAGCUGGGCACAUGCUACUUAUUCAUUUAGCCUCCUCCUCAUUAUUCACGUUAUCUAAAACUCCAGAGGUAAAACUGGUGCUGUUCGUUGGCGAGGGGUCAAUUACUUGUAUAAGCAUAAUAUUCUCGAGACGUGUUUAAAAGUACUCUGGUUUCCAGCUGCAGCGAAUGUGCAGCCGGUAAAGCCUGUGACCUGGUAAGGCCAGAGUAAAUAACUGAGACCAGAGAAUAGACAAGGACAUAAGGUCUUCAUCAGGAAACCCACAAGGUCUCCAGACUAGAGAGUUUCUAGGUGAAGGCAUCCGCAGCUUCUACUGAAAUAAUGGAUUUGGAAUAUAUUAAUCAUGUCAGAAAGACAAAUACGGUUGACAUCUAAAUCUAUAUAAACUUGGUAAGACAGUAAAUACUCAAACUUUCAAUGUUGAAAAUUAAAAAAAAAAAAAAAGCAAAAGAAAAGCAAAUCCAACCUAAAAACUUUCAGGAAAAAGAAAAAAAAGGUCAAAUGUCAAAUCUUACAAAAUAGGAAGCUAGUAAGAUUUGGUGAGAAUGAGUGCUGGGUAUGAACAUAUUAAAGAAAUAUGUAGGUGGUGCGCCUGCAAUGGAUUCCCAGAGGUUGGAGGUUACAUGUAACACACCUGGGCUAGUGCUCUGCCAGGCAGCCUAGUUCAGGUACACAGUAAUGAAACGACCUCAGAGAUCUCUGGGGUAGUGAGCUCUAUAGGUUCCGUUCAGGAUCCCUCUCUCAAGUACAAUGAUCUUUGCCUGAUUUUCAAAAUCGUCAGCUAACCAACGUAAUAACUCUAAUUUAAAUAUUCUCUCAUGGCUUUAGAAGUCAUUUGACCUUUGUUGUCCUCAUCCUUACUUCCUGUAUAGACAGGAAGUAAGGACUGAAUAUAAAACAUCAAGACGAACACAAAAGAAGCCACCUCCCAGAUAAAGACCAGAAGUCCUUCCCACCACACACUCAUGCAACUAAAACACAUAGGAGAAAACCUGCAGUGUCUAAACUUGAGAAAUGUAGAUGCUACACAAAUGUCCAAUAAAGGGCAAUUCGAGUGUGGACCAAGGCUUAAUUAAGGCCUUCUCUCUCUGCUCAAUUGUCAUACCUACUUUCAGAAGUAAAGGUUUCACUUUGUUAAUAAACUGUCUCUACUCUAUGUCUAAUACAUGUCUCUAAUGCAAUCCUUAGUCCUGAGAUAAUGAUAGCCUCAGAUGGGCACCUUCUAAAUUCAGAUCUGCAGGGAGACACUAAGCAUGCCUUUCUCUCCCAUUUUCUUUAUCCCCAUUUUUGGAUAUUGGCCAAAGACUUAAACAUGCAUUCUCUGAUUACUGGUCUCUCUCUUUCUAUGAAGUUCUAUUAUUCCCCUCCUAUCAUACACUGCUUGCUGAUCUCCAUUGCUGAACUACUGGUGUCCUGUGAUCCUAAAUCAAAAAGUCCUGUAAUUCUCUCUUCCUCUUUACCACUUCCCUCCUCCAGAAGCUGCUGAGAAUUUUCUUGCUUAUCCUCUUGUUUUUCUCUCAAUAAAAUGGCCCUUGAGCUUCUAAGCCAACUCGAAAUUAUUUUAUUAAUGAGAUUGUCCUAGUUAGGGUUUCCAUUGCUGAGAAGAGACACCAAGACCAAGGCGUCUCUUAUAAGGGGCAUCAUUUAAUUGGGGCUGGCUUAUAGGUUCAGAGGAUUAUUCUAUUAUCACCAUGGCAGGAAGCAUAGCAGCAUCCAGGCAGGUACAAUGCUGGAGACGGAGCAAGAGGUCUGAUCUUGAUCUGAAGGCAGUCAGGAGAAGACUGUCUUCAGUGCAGCUAGGAAGAGGGUCUCAAAGUGACACACUUCUUCCAACAAGGCCACACCUGCUCUAACAACGCUACAACCUCCUAAUAGUGGCACUCCCUGGGCCAAGCAUGUACAACCCACCACAGAGACCAAGAAACCCAAAGAGAACCUCAGAUCCAGCAGUAACUACGAAACUGCUAAACCUUUCAGGUUCCUUUUCAGAACUUUGAUGUGCGUUUUGUGUAUGCGUGAGUAUUUGGAGUGGAGGUACACGUGCCUGUGGAUUGGGGUGUGUGUAUGUGUGUGUGUAUGUGUGUGUGUGUGUGUGUGUGUGUGUGUGUGUGUGUGUGUGUGUGUGUGUAUAGGCCACAGGAAGACAUUGGGACAUUGAUGUUCUGUUCUGUCACUGCCCACUUUAUUUCUCUGAGAUAGAUUCUCUCACUGAACCUGGAGUUCAUGGUCUUCUUUGUAUGUUUGUGGGUUUGAUUGUUUGUUUGUGUUUUGCUAGGAUGGCUGGCAGCGAUCCAUCCUAUCUUCCUAUCUUUGCCUGCUAGGUAUUUUUCUAUGGAUAUUGGAGAUCCAUUCUCAGGUCUAGGACCAGGAUACUGGACAGUCCUUUCAUGUUGAAAUCAUCUUGGAGGAGCACAAAGCCUGGGACUGGUAUUUUCUUUUCUUACAAAGAGAAAUGUCUCAUUUAACAACUUAGGCUAGACCAUGGUGAAUUUCCUAAUGUACUUUGUUAUGUUAUCAAAUGAAAAGCAGUCCAGCCUUUGCCCUUCUCCUGCCUUAGGUUGGUUACCUCCAUCCCAGGUUACUUCUCUUACCUUGCUGACCUAACCGUGAGGGAAGUUUUCGGAAAGCAGGCAGGUUUGGCAGAUGAGGAAGCUCAAUUUGCAAUUGCCUUGAAGAGCGGCUGUUCUUCACUGUGGAUGCGUGGAUGUGACAAUAAGGGGAGGCACACUGUUUAUCUUUGCAAAAUAUGAGUCUGUGGCAGAGAAAAGAAGGCUUGUCCCAUAGGUGCCAAGGAAUCAAAGCCACACUGCCUUUAUGUCUUUGAUGUAUUUCAUUAAUGUAAUACAUUCAUUAAUUAAAAAGAAUACUUAGGGAAGUUUUUUUUAAUGUGAGAUGCAUUUGCCGUAUCAGCCAUAUUCCUCUUUCUCCAAUGCUUCUUUUCUUCACAUUAAAAACAAUGAAUGAAACCAAACAAACCUUUACCUAAAUAAUGAUGCUAGUCACAAAGUAUAUUUCCAAUAAUGAAUAUCAGCUGUCAAUCUAAUAAAUGUGAAUAAGGACUUACUAAAAUAUUAACAAUAAACAAACAAACAAACAGACAGACAUGAUUAGGAGGUAAUGUCACUUUGGAUUCUUAGGUAACAGGCUGAGCUGAUUUUCCAGUACCUUAAUGCCCCCUGCUGGCAAUUCUUGGAAGUGGCAUAUUCUAGGCAGAAAUAUAAAAGGGAGCCAGCCAUCUCUUUAAAAGUCUUAGAGAAAGGAUUAAGAGAUAAAGAUUAAAGAUAAAGAUUGUGUUUUGCCUGGGUUUAUUUUCUUGACUGUAACUAUCAGUAGAGGAAGUAUGUGAGGACUGUGCUAUGUGUAAGGAAUCCUCACUUCAUUGCAAGGGGGAUGGUCCUAGUGGUGAAAACAGGGCUUGACUGGAGAGUGUUAGCUAUUGAUUCCGUUCAUUCUGCUAACCUAGCUCUGCGCAGCCUCCAGUGAACGUCAGUCCUAUGUUCUUCGUGCAGACACAUUUUUAUGCAUCAAGUGUAAGGAAAGAGGAUAUAUAUUUGUCGAAGGUGCUAUGCCAGUAUCGCACCAUUUUCUCUAAGUACUACAGCCAAGGAGGGAGCUAUUAGAAAAAAAUAUAUGUAGAGAAAGGGUUUGUAUAGUGUUUUCCCUUGCUGAAUCACAAGCAUUCAAAGAAGACACAAUUUCUAACUACAUAUCUUGGUAUCUAUGGUGAUUGAGAGUUUUGCUGGUUAUAGUAGCCUGGGCUGUCGUUUGUGUUCUCUUAGGGUCUGUAUGACAUCUGCCCAGGAUUGUCUAUUCUUUCUUUGCAUAACUGUAUUUGCAACUUUAGGGCAUUAAUAAGUAAAGGCUACUUAAUUUCUCAAUAAUCAAUCUGAUAAAAAAAAAUAUCGAAUACUGACAGGAGUCUAAUGGUCAUCACAUAGGACAACACAUCCCAGGAGAACACAGGAUUUUAUGACAUUUCUGAAGGUAAUUCAGACAGGGUGGAAUGUGAAGUUUAAGAAUUAUUUACUUCUAGGAAUUUCCACUUAAUUUUUUACAGUGUAAUUGGUGACAGAUGAGUAAUUCUCCAGAAAAGUCAAACCUUAGACAGGGAUACUAGCAAAUAUCCUCAAAUUGGUCUCUACUGAGUAGAGAUAUAAGGGGAUAAACCUACAGGAGACAGGGGCACUUGAUGGCUCUGGGGACUUUAGUCCUCCGGUCUCCAGCUUUUUGUUAGACUUUAAGGAGCAACAGCUGUAUCACUUGAACCCUUUUGUACUAAGUAAGGAGUCCAGAAUUUCCUUCUAAGAUGUAGACUCCUCAUUUUCCCACCAGUCCAUGUACUUAUUUUUCAUGUAUAUUACUGCAUACAUUUAUUCACUGGUGAGAACUGCUAUUCUUAUACAGCACCUCAGACAAGGCACCACUCAACACUUGAUAAACACACAUGAAAGAGGUUUUUCUAGUGGGUUUUAUUUUCUCACUGUAUUUACAGCUACAGUACUUGAAAAGAUGAGAUUGGUAACUGGGGAAACAGGUCAGGGAUGAAGUACACUGGCUGUUCUUCCAGAGGACCAGUAUUCAAUUCCUAGCACCUAUGUGGGGGCUCACAGCUAUCAGUAAUUCCAAUCUCAGGUGAUCUGUUGCCCUCUUCCGGCUUAUAGGAGCACUGCAUGCACAUGAUGCAUUGACACCCAUGAAUAUACCUAUGAAAAGCUAAAUAAAUAGAUAAUUUAAGAAUUAUAUUUUUAAAAGGAAAAACAGAGAAAUGGCAAACUGGGAAACGAACCUGUGGCUAACAAUAAUUAAUUGUCAUGAUCCACACUUAAAACUACAAUAAUAAAAUUAAUUUUUCUACGUAUACUAUACUACUUCAAAUAUUUUAUAACAUUUUGCCACCAAUUAUAAGACAGUCCUAUGUAUUUAUAUGUGUACUUAGUAUCUAUAUUGAAAUAACUAUACAAUUCAAAGUCCAGUAGGUUUUUGAAAAAUAUAAUAUGGCUGUAAAUUCCUUAAAUAUAUAAUCUAACUUGGCAUGGUAGUACAUGCCUGUAACACUUGUACUUCAGAGGUAGAUAGUCCGGAAUUCAAAGUCAUUUUCAAAUACCCAGAGAGUCUGAAGCUACGUGACUCAUCUCAAAAUUCAAGAGUACGUGUGUACCUGCAUACAUAUGUGCACAUAUACGGCCCCUCACCCCACACAUAUACAGACAAGGAAGUACAAGUGCAUAUCUCCAAUAAUUUGUCAGUUCCUCCUAACAUAAAGUAUUGUUCUGGCUUGUUAUAAUUGGGCUGUAGUACGAACAAGUAUGCCAGAACUCUGGAGAUAAUUUUAAGAUGAGUUACGAGCAGUCUGGCAGAUAGGAAAAGAAAGAAUCUAUGUCAUUUUCCUGACACAACACCAUUCUGAACCGAAUUGCCACCCCCACCUGUUCUGUCUUCUUCCUCCACUUCUGUUGUCCUGUGUUUUGUGUGUCCAUAGAGGGCUCUAUCUGAUAUGCUGAAAUAUCUUCAUACCCAUGCUUCACGUAAGAUAUUAGCCAUUACUAAAUAAUUAAUUAUUCUAUUAUUUAGUAAUCUGGCAAUACAUCUAAUUAAGCAGUGGACACUAGGUUGUGUGAGCUCUUUCUUGACCGUGCCACCAAGAUCCACUGAGUUUUCAACAGAGAAACUAGCUUAAUUCUGGAGGAAUUAAAGUAGUGGCAAAACAGAAUCAAGAUUUCACGUGGGAGUAAAUAUUUCAUUACUGGCACUUCCUGCAGUUAAGAUGAAAAGAGUUUUAAGGAGUGUGUGAGUGACAUUUUAGGACCCAGAUCCUCUUGAAUAUCUGUUAAGCCCUUCCAAUCUCCUUUAGCCCCUUGUCUCCUUGAAACAUAGGCUUCAGUUCCUUGGGCCAGAUCUGCUAGCUUACUCCCUCAUAGAACUGAUAAAAUCACUCAAAAGGACAGGUAUCAGAGUUGGCACAGAGUUUUCUGAAUCCUCUUAAAACACUGGGAUAGAAUUUUCUUGUCCACUUAGGUUGGAUGCAGAGGAGCUGCAGUAAAUCACUCAACAAGCACAGUAAUCCUGACUCCCUGGUCUAUGGGAGGGGGCGGUCCUAGUGGUGAAAACAGGGCUUGACUGGAGAGCGUGAGGUACUGAUUCUGUUCAUUCUGCUAACCUAGCUCUGCGCAGCCUCCAGUGAACGUCAGUCCUAUGUUCUUCGUGCAGACACAUUUUUAUGCAUCAAGUGUAAGAAAAGAGGAUAUAUAUUUGUCGAAGGUGCUAUGCCAGUAUCGCACCAUUUUCUCUAAGUACUACAGCCAAGGAGGGAGCUAUUAGAAAAAAAAUAUAUAUGUAGAGAAAGAGUUUGUAUAGUGUUUUCCCUUGCUGAAUCACAAGCAUUCAAAGAAGAAGAAAUCACAAUUUCUAACUACAUAUCUUGGUUUACAUUUAAAACAAGACCUUGGGGGAAAAUUUACAAUUGUAUACCCGGAGAUAAAAACUCUUUAACCAAUAGAACAUUGAUUUGCAGAUUUUCAAUGAAAAAUAGGCUCAAGAAUAUGCCUACCAAACAGCAAUGAAAGCUGAGAUGAGAAUUAAAGACAAAGGGCAAAAUAAAAUGGUAUUACAAUCACUGCCGCCUCUUCAGAUCAAAGGCCAUGGCAGAGAAAUUAACAGGCUUUGAGAAGUAGAAACAAAAUAAAGAUCCCUUAAAUCAAUGGGAACUUAGGGAGAAACAGGGUUUAUCAAUAGACAGAAAAUAUGGGGGGGGAUCAUCAUAUCUCUGAAGUGGAAAUAAUUAAUAUGAGCAAAUCUUAUCAGUAUCUUUGCUUUCAAACUCUUCUCACCUUUCCUUUUACCCGAUGAAACAGUGUGACACAAACUAUGUGAGAACCAAGGAAUUAUUUCAGCUCAAGUGGACAUCUGAGUCUAGCGCUCUGAUUUAGGGGUUUACCUUCCAUAAUUCCAUAUGGAUGGGUAUGUUAGUCUUAUGUAACACCCAAUAUAAACCAUACCCAGACAGCCAUAUUGAUGGGGAUAUUGUAGUCUUAUGUAAUGCCCAAUACAAAUCAAUCAUACCCAUACAGCAAUGGUCAGGUGGAGUAUCCCAGUCUGAAAAAUGAAAAUCUUAAAUGCUCCAAAAUUUAAAGGUUUUAAUGGGUAGAAUUUCACAAGAAAAAAAUUCCACAUGUAAUCUUAUAUGACACAUGUAAUGAAAAUAUUGUGCAAAAUUACAUUUAAGUUAUAUGUUUAAGGUGCACACAAAAUAUAAAUGAAGUUUGUGUUCAUAAUAAGGUCCUGUUCCUAUCAUAUAUUAUAAUAUAUAUAAGUAUUCCAGAUGCUGAAAGUAAUUCAAAACAGUCUGACCCCAAGCAUCUUGAUAAUGGUAUAUUCAAGUAUCUUAGUCAACUCUUAAUAAGUACUUCCCAGUUAGUAGGCUUCUUAGUGUGUUUCACAUGCACUCCUUCAUUUAAUCCCCCAAAGCUUGCGUAAAAAGUAAUGGACUAAACUAUACAUGAAGAAACACAUAAGUAAAUCAAUUGCUCAAGAUUUAAUCUAGUGGAAAGAUAAAAAUCAUGAUUUAAGUCCAGGCAGCUGAACUCCACAGGCUUUGUGAGCACACACUAAAGUGCCCAUUAGGCAAGUGUCCAGCCUAUAGUUUUCCAGUUUAAUUCUCCUCUCCUCACACAUUCUCCACCCCAAAUUUUCAUUUCUUUGAAUGUGUUUUCCCAGUAUUUUAUACUUAUUAUACAAUCUUGAUGCCUCUGGCAAAUAAUAAUAAUAAUAAUGUGUUCAUAAUAGUUUAAAUAAUAGUUUUCACAUCUAUUAGGAGGAGAAAUGAUGAUAAACAACCAUAAAAAACAGAUUAUGCAGGAGAAGACACAGUUAUACACAUAAAGGAAGCACACACACACACACACACACACACACACACACACACACACAUUCUCUCACAGAGGCGGGGGAAAGAAAGGGGUGGGGAGAGAGAGAGAGAUGUAAGCCCUUAGAAACAGGGACUUAGGGCCUUUUAUACUCUGUCUGAACCUUUAAUGAAAACAUAAAAAGCAAAAAAUGAAAAACAGAGAAAAAAGAUGCUGUGCCAUGAAGAGUUUUGAUAAAUAUAUCCUUGGAUCUCAAGCACUUGGUGGCAGCAUGCCACCAUCUUCAAGGACCACAUCUUUCCGGUGAGAAGCUUCAUCUUUGCAUCUUUGCAUAGACUGCUGUUUGACUCUGCAGUCAGGAAGAUCCCUCAUCUCUGAGGAGCCAGACGUGAAGGCAGCAUGAAUGGAAAAGCAGGAAGUGGAUAAAAUGACAUGCCAGGUACUAGCAUGUCUACUUAAACAUUCAAUUUUCACUUCACAUAGUGUUUGCAUGUCUUUCCUGUGGAUGAUAUCCAGUAACUGAUUCUGCCUCCUCUACCUCUGAAAUCAUUAUUUAGGAGAAAUGGUGUAUUAUUGGAGGCAAAGGCCCAAGCAUUGGGCUCUAAACACAACCCACAAACACAGUUAAUGACUCAGUGCCUCCAGGUGAAUUUUAGAUUCACCAUUCAAUAAGAAUUCUUCUUUGAGAUGAGGUCUCAAGAAGCCAAGACGAGCUUUGAAUGCUCUUGGAGUGGAGUAGAGAGAGGCUGGAACUUUUGACUCUCCUGCCUCCACCUGCAGAGUUCUGGGACUGAAGGCAUCUAUCUCUAUGCUGGCUUCAUGUGCUCUUAGGCCUCAAAACGAGGGUUCUGUGAAUGCUAGACAAGCACUCAUCCAACUGAGCUGUGCUCUCAGCUUGUUUCUAUAAUCUUAGUCUCACCUGCCUCUAAACAAACAAAUGAACAACACGUAAACAAAACUGGAAAGCAAAAUUAAAACCCUACAACUGAAAGGGGUAUGUGGGCCAGUAGCAAGGCAUCUGAUAAACUGAGUUUGAUCCCUGGGGUCCACAUGGUAAGGGGUCAACGCCCACACAUUGACUUCUAACUUUCAUACAGAUUUUGGAUACUGUAUCCAUAUCUACACUCCCAAAGAAAUUACUGUAAUAAAAAAUUAAAUGUCUUGUAGCAUUUUUCUCUCCCUUUCCCAAAAUGUGAUUUUUUUUUAAUUUGCAAACUUUAUUUCUUUGAAUACAUCUAUCUUCAAUCUGGUAUUUUAUUAUUGAGAAAUGAACAAAGACUUCCCAAUAGAAAAUGAUUCAGUCUUUUCCAUCUCAGUCUUCAGCCUCCCUGGUAAACCAUUCCUUAUUACCUUCUCAUUCACAGCAUCUCUCAUUCCUUCUCUCUGUCUUCCCUAUUAAGUUACAUUCUAAAUAACGAUCAUCUACUACUACUACAUAUUUCUGUCCUUCAUUUAUUCAUUCAGUCAAUGCUUUGGUAUAUAAUAUUCAUGUACUAUGUUUCAGAACCAUAAGAAUGAAUAAUCUAGAAUGUGAUAUUACCAUCUGGAAUAGCCAAAGUCUCACUAAAAUGAUGCCAUACAUGGGGCAAAUAUUUCUAAGGAUCACUAAUUAUACACAAAUUACACUCCAGAAUACAGGAGAUUCUAUAAUAUAUUUCAUGAAAGAGAAUUUCUGAUUGAUAUUAAAAUUUUCCUUUAUGUUAUGCCUGACACAAAAUCAUGCUAAUGCUAUUUAUCACACACUGACUAUGAAUGCAGGAUAAAUUAUUCCAUUUAGACUUCACCAUGAUUAUAGGAAUUGGUGUCAUGUUCAUGACGUUCAUUUUUGCCAGGAGAGGAAUUUGCCUAAAAAACUCACUGUUUUCCCAAGGCUAUCUUGCUCAUGGGAGCAGCUAGGACUUGGCUAGAUGGUUUGGUUUUAAACAACCUGUGCUCCUUUUACUUGCUUAUUUGGCUUUAUUAAGCUGUUGCUUUUUUCCUCCCAAAAAUUAGAUUUUUAAAAGAUUUAUUAACUCUAGGAAGAAUUGAGUUGGAAUUUUGAGCUUGGAAUACCCAAGAAACAAUUCACAGACUACAUGAAGCUCAAAAAGAAGGAAGACCAAACUGUAAGUGCUUCGGUCCUUCUUAGAAAGGGUGGCAAAUUACCCAAGGGAGGAGAUACAGAGACAAAAUGUGGAGCAGAGACUGAAGGAAAGGCCAUCCAGAGACUGCCCUACAUGGAGAUCCAUCCCAUAUACUGUCAGCAAACCUAGACACUAUUGUGGAUAUUAAGAAGUGCUUGCUAACAGGAGCCUGAUAUAGCUGUCUCCUGAGAGGCUCUGCCAGAGCCUAACAAAUACAGAGGUGAAUAUUCACAGCCAACUAUUAGACUGAGCAUGGGAUCUCCAAUGGAGGAGUUAGAGAAAUGACUGAUGGAGCUGAAGAGGUUUGCAGCAUCAUAGGUGGAACAACAAUAUCAACCAACCAGACCACCCCAGAGUUACCAGGGACUAAACCACCAGAGUGUACCAAGAGUACCAAGAGUACACAUAGCUCCAGUCGCAUAUGUAGCAGAGGAUGACCUUGUACAUCAAUGGUUGGAGAAGCCCUUGGUCCUGUGAAGUGUAGGGGAAUGCCGGAACAGGAAGUGGGAGUGGCUAUGUGGGUGGGGGAAAACCUUCAUAGAAGCAGGGGGAGGGGUAUAGGAUAUGGGGGUUUUCAGAGGGGAAAGCAGGAAAGGGGAUAACAUUUGAAAUGUAAAUAAAGAAAAUAUCUUAUAAAAAUUUUUAAAAGAAAACUGUAAUAAUUUAAAAACAAACAAACAAAAGAUGAUUAACAACAAAAAAUAUAUCCUACAACAUUUCUGAAACCAAAAGCACCCACCAUCUUCCUAGUGACGGAUGUAUGUGUGCUCAUGUGCUUGUGUAUGUUAGAAAAUGAUCCAUAUUUUAUAUCACAGGUCCAUUUGCUCAUUUCUCUUUAAAAUGGCAAAAGUUGAAUGAUAUAGUGGGGAGUUCUAAAAUCUCUAUAGCUUCUAGCUAUAGAAAUUAUUACAAAUCUUAAGUAGAACGAGAAUUUCAGUAUCUUUCUAUUUGUUCCUCUCCCUGUCUCUGUCUCUUUGUGUUUCUGUCACUCUGUCUCUGUCUGUCUCCUUUUUCUGUCUCUCUGUUUUUCUUUCCAUCUCUGCUUCUUCUUCUCUAUAUCUGCCUGUUUGUCUCUCUGUGUCUCUCUGACUCUGUCUCUCUGUGUCUCUUGUUCCUUCCCUCCUUCUCUCCCUCCCUCACUCUCUCCUUCCUUUCUUCCUCCUACCCAUCACCUGUCUGUUUAUAUAGACAGAAUCUGAUUCCGUUUCUUGAGCAGCAUUCGUGAAUUAAGAUAUUGAACUGUGAGUGCUGAUGUGAAAACUGAGAACAGAAACCUUUGCCAUGUGGCAGACUUUUGAAGGCACAUUCUGCUUUGUCUUUUUUUAAAGGAGGGGAGACUUGUUUAUAGAUGAACUCACUCCUGGUACACUACA
This is a long non-coding RNA of Mus musculus (house mouse), 46076 nucleotides long. RefSeq annotates it as predicted gene, 32337. Lineage: Eukaryota; Metazoa; Chordata; Mammalia; Rodentia; Muridae. The record is from RefSeq and is a predicted model, not a curated record. The transcript is spliced from 2 exons.